Molecule: long non-coding RNA, 55671 nt
Filed under: Spirodela polyrhiza (greater duckweed)
Lineage: Eukaryota; Viridiplantae; Streptophyta; Magnoliopsida; Alismatales; Araceae
Description: long non-coding RNA (SPOL_LNC002074)
Source: RNAcentral
UCCGGAACAUGAAUUGUGAGGGAAUAACGAGGAGCCCAGUUCCUGCUUUGACUGAAUCCCCCAUUGAUCGAGGGGUCAAACAGAGAAGACAUCACACACACAAGUAAAAUCGCCCACACAAGGAGACGUCAGAUAUAGGGUACAUAUUCCACCAGCACAGGACAGCAUCUCCUGCACCCGGAAGGCAAGGCACGUCUGAUCUUCAAGAGUAGUCAAAAUAAAUCCAAGUACAUAGCAUCACUAGGAAACGAAGAAGAUCGAAAUCUCCAGUCUUCCAGAGGAGAGAGGCACCUCGGAAUCACGCCAAGCAUCACCCCCAAGCCGAAGGGAAAUCUCCGAGGCCCCGUCGUGCUGAAGAACUCGUACAAAUCCAAUGGGUCAACUCCCGUCCAAUGACAAGAGGUCAGCUCUCUCUCUCUCUCUCUCUCUCUCUGGUUAUUCUUCUUCUUCUUAUACCUCCGAACUUUCUGCACGGCUGACGGCAAGUAGAAAUAAAGGUGAGGCAAAGGACUGUCGAUUACCCCACGUUGCUGGUCAGAGAGCAGUAGCUCGGCUCCGCCGCAGCAAUCUCCGAGCAGGGGUCCCUCCGUUGGUUCAUCAUCUGCUGGCCGGAGGAGGAAGAAGGGUGGGGAUCCAUGCAGGACAGGCAGACCCACUCGAGAGCGAAGGUCUCCUCGUACUCGCGGUCGUGGAUGCAUCUCCCGCACUGGUUGCACCUCGCGAUGCAGAUCGAGCAGGCCCGGCAGGGAUCUGUGCCUUGCGCCCGGCAGCCACUGACGGGGCAGUCGUAGACGACCCUGACGUGCCGGCAUCUGGGGCAUUCCUCGACGUCGAUGGCGGGGUUGUGGUCGCAGCACGAGGCCCGGUGCCGGAGGUGGUAGAACAGAGGCUUGCGGGCUCCGGUCUCUUGGCUUUGAUCCGGGCGCAGCAACCGCGUCAGGACCUCAAGGUGCUCGUGGCUUAUUCCAUAGAGGCCGCCGACGCCCAGGCUCUUUAUCCCAGCCAUGGCCGAGGACUCAAAUAGCUUCAGGCUGUCCACAACCCCCCCUAUGCUCAGCCUUGUGCACGCUGGAACAUUCAGCUGCGAUUAAGAGAAGUAGAAGGUCAUCAACCGACGUGGAAAGAGCGGAACAGACGGCUGCGCAAGAAUCUAAAGUAGAAAGCAACAAGAAACGAGAUGGACUAGUAUUGACAAGACCGAUAGGAAGUGACAUGAAAUGUAAAACAUGAACACAAGAAUGAAGUACGCUCUGGUGGUCUUCUUAGCCAGCAAAACCAGUCCCCCCCUGAUCCCAAGAUAAAUAAACGAAAGUCAAAAGAAGCUAGAUGCAAUUUUUAGCUUCGAGGGCCCUCUUUAUAAAACGAUGGCCAAGAAAGGUACUUCCCCUGUGGCUACAAAUUACCAUUUAGGAUAUACUCAAUUCUAAUCUAGUAUGCACACCAUUGAUGAGAUGGAUAUGGCUUCAAACCAACACUAUCAGCCGAUUAUCCACCACACUAAAUGAUCGUCCAUCAUUUCCAUCACACAGCCCCGAAAAACGAACACUGUUUGAAAGUUAUAUUAAUGAUUACAUCUCGAUAUAACCAAUAACAGAGCAACAAUCUUACUGAGCAUGAUCAAAACAAUUUUACCGAGCAAUUAUAACUGAAUUCUUCUUCUCUAUUCGUCACAAAAUGGACAAGAGCACUACGCUACCGUCCAGAGAAAGAUGUUUCUGUAAAAGGAAAAAAUGGAGAAGGUGGUACCACUAUUUCGGUCCACUACAAACUUUGUUUUGGGAGUGUUUGCCAUCAAACAUUAUGUUCAUUCUCUUCCGUUAUAGUUUACAAUGAAGAAGAUUAAGUUUUAUUUCUAACCGUGAUAGUGGAUAACAUUUCAUUGGACAAGAGACCCCGGGAACUGCUUAUGGCUAUGCAAUCAAAGGAUUCCAUAAUUCUAUUUACAAAGCAGUGGCUAAUGAAAAAAUUACAGACCAUCAAAUGGAGGAAAUUCCCAAAAAAAACCCGUUUACAUAACUAUUUAUUAUCAUUAACCAGAGAACAAAUGUUGGAAAAAGAUCGCGUGCAUAUCCCCACCAACUAAAUUCAUUACCUAACCCACUGCUCUGUUUUCGAAACCCAUCAGUAGCGUUCAACACAGUCAUCACAAAAUAUAAUGUACAUAAACAACACUUCUGUACAUGUCCAGGGUUUAUGAUUAUAACUCGGAUGUUGCCCCGGACAGAAGAUGAACAAAGAAAAAUUUAUCCAAACAACGGAGUAAUCAAUAUAGGCAUGGUCCUAGAGACGCACACAUCUCUAGGAGGGGUGAGAGUAUGGACUCCUACCCACUGCGCUUUAUGUCAACAAGUUGAUGGGCGAAGAAACAAUUAUAGAGUUAAAGGCAAUCGUGGAUACUCAAGAAACCACAACACACCAUAUAUACUAAAUAAUUAAAAAAUGUAUAUUUUAAAAUCCUUAUAGAUGCUAAAACACUCCUCUUGCUAGGCCAAAAACAUGUUCCUUUAAAAUGACAGAAGGAAGAUACCGAAAAUGUUCCUCAUUCAUUCAAAUAAGGACGAAAAUUUCAAAACCCCUGACGAUGAAGAUCAAUAUGGCAAUGAUUGCAAGGCUUCGAAUUUCACUCUGCAUACAUGGACCUGAAAUCAACCAUAUACAUACAUUGUAUUCAUAAACACCUAUCUCUCAAGUGGAAAGGAUAAAAUACUUAGCAAGAUGAAGUUGACGGAGAACAACUUCAUCAUUCCAUCUGCAUGAUGACACACAAUCCCUAUAUAAUAAUCCGCAUAACCUUAUUCUAUUUUAAAAGCAUCUAAUAAUCUCCAAUCAAAAUAUUAAAUGUUGAGUGUAUAUUUACACAUAUAGCCGACUAUCAUUGCAAAAAGUAGGAGAUGGAAUAAACACGCCUCUAGGGACGAAUCCAUUAAAGAAUGUACUACAAAUAUUUCCACCAACUAACGCGGCAAUUCAACUGGAUCAGGCGAGAUGGUCAUCCAGCCCAAGAAAAGUUUUGUUCAAAAGCAAAGUCUAGAAACUAAAUUUCUAAAUUUAGUUUCUAGACUUUAGUCCUAAAACCACUGCAGCCUAUUAGUCCUAAAACCAAUCACUUCAAAACAGCAGACUUGCAAGAGGUGAAUGGGAAGAGCAGCUGGAAGACUGCAGCAGCUGCAACAACGAAUACUGCUGGUGAAGACGAUGACUGAUGAGAUAGUUUUUCUAAAAUUCUUCCGUGGAGGUGCCAACAGGCCAGAAACCAAGACAAGCUUUUUACCUUUGGGCAUCAAAAUCUACUCAGGAAAACACCAAAGACACAUUCCCAGCCUGAUUUCUUUCUUUUAUUUCUCUGAGUCAGGCUUAGCCAUGUAAGACAACCCAUUAUCCCCGUGGUUAUACUCCCUUUAACCCUGACUGGAAAAUAACACCAACACCCUUCCACUAGUGAACAGAGUCCCGUGAGCCUAUAUCUCCAAUCUCCGAUACCACUCUCUUCCCAGCCCUCGCCCCGAGGGUCUGCCACCCAUGCAUUCCUUAGUCAUUGCAUACAACCAGCUGGGCACCACCCCAAGCUUCAUAGAAGUCUUUUCUGUGGUAUGUUUUCCCCUGUUCUCUGAAUCUUAUGGAGUAUGGGCCUUGAAGAAGAUGACCAGGCCCAUGCCAAACUUCACAAGGCAUACCCUAGCAGACCAGUACCCUUGCCUGCUUCUUCUCUUUCCUCCACCCCUGAAAAAUGUACACUAUCCCCCAAUGUCCAUGUGGCAACCAUUGAUUGUUGUUUUCAAUUUCACGGGGGAUACAAUUCUUCUAGACGGUGAGAAAUCAUAUCUAGUCGUCUGUUUCUGAAUAAUAUGCACGACCGAUGCUCAUAAAAUGCCACGAUUAUAAUAAGUAAUAUGAUCAUAGGUCUGCACUCCAAAGUACACUUAUACCCUAGACCUUGAAUUAAAAAAAUGAACUCAAUAAACUACUGGCAAGGAUAAAGGAUUUCAAAGUCCAGACGUAACCUUGUAGGCCAUAUGCAAUUAGCAGGCAAAAGAUAACUCAUGUCAACAAAGAAAAUAAGAAGCUAUGUUCGACAUUCAAAUAUCUACAGUAGGACAAAUAACUUUACGCCAGAGCAUAGGGCGGAUUGUCUACAGGAGGUUGAGAAAUCUCGCCUAUCUUUUAAUACUUGGAAGAACACCAAUUCAUUAUCUUACGUGGCCUUUGUAGAUCAUUUUUUCCUUGGAACACCCUGUUAUGAAACUGUAUACUAUCUAAGUCAAAAUUCUGCCAAACAUAUAACAUCCAUAGACAAAUUAACUCAUAUUCGUCAUCCACUAUCUAUUCCUUUUGGUAAAACUGUAUGCAAGACAUAUAACGCAAUAAAAAAGGCCUAAACGGUUUAUGGCUCAUAGCUUGAAACACUUUUGGCUGAAUGACAAUAAUUCAAGAAGCAAUUUUCAGUAUGAUAAACGCGAAAAAAGAAAUCUCUGUCAUGAAGAGAUAAAAUAGUAAGCGUCACACAACUCUAAAAUACAUGCAAAUAUCAAAGUUUGAGAAAAUAACUUUUAAAUCAAGAAUCCAAAAACGCAAUAGACGUUAUCAACUAAAAAUGAUCCGUAAAAGAAAAAGAAUACUUCUGUAUUACAGAGGGUACAUGCAUAGGCUCCUGAUCUACACCAGUCAUUUUGUACAGCGUUAUGCAAAAGUUUCGUAAAUAAUACAAAAAGUAAAUGAUAUUAAAUACAUUCAAGGCAGCACAUGUAGAACAACAAAAGGCACAGUGACAGUAGCAUAAAGGCACAAAAAAGAGGAAAUUUAAGUCAAAAUUCAGUUAAAGAAAGGAAAGAUACAAAAAAGAGAAAACUAGUAGGGAGGAUAUAGAUGGGUGAUCAAUAAUAGCAAUCCAACUACCUUUUGGAGUCUCGAAUUGUUCUCUAGCACAUGUCUCAAGCCACUGUCUGUAAUUUGUGAGCAUUCCACGAGGCUCAAGCACUCCAGACUUCCUUUAGCCCUAUCAGUCAACCGUGAAAGGAUGUCAUCGGUUAUAUUUUUGCUUAAAGGAGGACCUAUGUGGAUGUGCCUCCACAGGAGGGGAUCUCCUCGAACUGCUGAACACAAAGUCUUGCAGACUCUCUCUACUGAGAGCAGGUCAUGAAUGUCCAGGUAAGAAAGCGCAAAUAGCAAGGCAUCAUGGGGGACAUUAGGGCCAUCGCUGUCAGCGCCACUGCAGGAGCAUUUCUCUGAAUCAAGAUGAUUAGUACCCAGGCAAUCCUCUCCCUGCACACCAAACUUCAAAGGCUUCACCUCCGGACACUCUUCCACGUGGGAAAAGUUCAAUGGAGGUUGUCUGGUGAGUACAGACGCAGAGGAACACAGAGGGGAACCACUUAUGCAGUCUUGAGCGCAAUGCGGAGAAAAACUAGUCGCAGCAUCCACGGCUGCAGAAUUCGCAGAUCUGCUGUACAUGAAAUAGUCGAAGAGGUUGUCGACAUGGGGGGCGUAGUCCCCAUAUUCAUAAUAACCAAAUCGAUCUACCACGGUGGUGGCAAGGUCCUCAAUCCAGCCAGCGAUGGCUGCUGUCCAAGUAUUUGAGUCAGCAGCCAAUCCCAUCCCAAAGGGAUCAGCAGGGAGCAGAUCAACAAUGUCAUCAUACACUGGUGUAGUCGGAGGUGGAGGUGGAGGCAGCUCAGAUCCACAGCCUAUACCCUCACUCUUCACCAUUCUGGUUGCUCCCCCUCCACUUUUCUCGCUCCUCCAUCCGGUUAUGCAAUCCUUCGGAGCCACAAAAAACUCCCAAUCGAAGUCCUUCUCCCGGAAAAAAGCGGAGGGAGCAAAUCCUCCCCCGUCAGGUGGCAUGCCCGCCGGUGAGGACGCAGUAGGGAAGAUCGUGUGCGAUGAAUAGUUGAGCGUCAUGGUUUGAAGGAAUCUAUGAAGACUGGAGUGCCAAGAUGUUGAAAAAAGGAUAGACAGAGAGGAAUAUCCCGAAUCCCAGUAGAAGAAAUAAAAACUCAGGUCACAAAGAAUACAAUGAAUACUCUAAAUUUCCUAAUUUCACAGCGUUUCAAAGGAAGGCUUCCUUAGGGAUGAUAGAAAAGACCAGGAAAUUUUCAAAUUACAUUUGGAAGAGGAAGAACAAGAAGAAGUGAAAAUCCCCGUGGUGCCGAGUCCGACUAAAAAACUCCACGGUUAAAGCUGGGAUAAAAUUGAUAGAUACGGUGAGAACGGGAGGAAAACUAAUCAACGAAAAGAGAUUACACGACGCGGGAUCUGAUAUCGUAGGUUUGGGUGACCUGGAGUUAGGGUUCCGAGGAAGAAGAUUCGGAGGGGUAGAAUCAACCUCGAGGGAGGAUUUCACGAGCUGUGCGCUCGAUCCAGCUCUAGAAUCGACCUUCUCUACUGGUUCUCCGCCGAUCGGGCUUGCUUCGACGAGGGGGAAGAGGGACAACGCGCGGGAGGGAGGUCUGAGUGGAGGGAAAGAGCGUGGGAACGACGGAAUUGGGCGAGUUCUGUGAAAUUUGAGCCCUUUUAAAGUGGUAGGUAGCCACGCGCGACGACGGAUGGAGGGCUUAGGGGAUUUUGUUGAGCCCGGCCGGCUAUCCCCGGUCCGGUCGAACCGGCCUCUCAGAAGACGAUAAUCUUCGGGAGCACAAAACUGAGACACGGAGUGCUUUGAACUUCCACGAUCAAAGUCAAAAUUUUGACGUCAUUCAGUGAUAAUAUUAUUCAAUAAUUCGACGGACAAGACGUCAAGUUUAUCGGCGGCUAUCAUCGAGCCCCGGGAAAUGAGGGCAGUAAAUUUAUUUCCUAUAUUUAGCAUAUAUUUUUCCAAUCGUAAAAAGAUAUAUAUAUAUAUAUUUGACCAAUCGGGAUUUCGGUUGCGCUAGGUAUUUUUCACCGGCUACAGGCCCUUAUUCUUGGUACGCCACUAAUAUGCUAAAUUAUAAUAAUUAAUAAUUACUUAUUAUAAUUAUAUUUUCUCUCAAAUAAAUAAACAUUGAUAUAAUAAGUUGGUUAUCAGGCCUUGAGUUUAUUAGUUCAAAUAAAUAUCCCCAUUUACGGUGCGCGAAGAACUCGGAUCCUGGCUUGACCCUACAAGAUCUGGCGCCCAAGACCCAUCGGAUUGUGUGCAAUAUCAGGGUUCACCUGAGCCCACAGAAUGGACGGUCUGGGAUGAAUCUGAUAGGAGGCUCCUAGAAAAAAACAGUUAGGGAAGAAAAAUCUAAGAAGCUCGUUUCCGUCCCGAAGAAGGGACUGUGUCGCCCACCACCUUCGCCCCUCCUGCGGCAGCCAUCGGAUAAGGCGGCGAAGCGGGAGAGAAGAGGCGGCGUGAAAGCUGAAGAGCCGGUGUGGCCCUCGGAGGCCAGCGGGAGGGGAAGAGUGUAGUACUCUCUAUUUAGGGUGGAGCUAGAGGGCGAGGUAGCCAGUGAGAGAUGGCGAAUUCGCUGGCCACGAGCUGUGCGGCGUCGCCCGCCACAUCUCCGGCGACCAGAGGCUUCGCCUCCUCCCGGAGGACCCUGCCGAGUAGAAACUUUUUGAAUGUGCCGCUGCGUGAUUGGAUCUCUUCUUCCUCGUUCAGGUGUCCUUCUCGCUUUUUUUCCUGGUUCUUCUUGACGAAGCUUCGGUGUAUUUCAUAUUUUGAGAGGGCCGUCGCUGUGCUUCAGGAAGUGCUCGUCGAUUCGUCGCUGCUGGAGCGGCCCCAGGGCCGUGUACGCCGACGGGUACUGGGGACCUGAGCGGAGCUACCGCAAGGGAAUUUGGUCCAUCAGGCAUGCCUUCCUAUUCUUCUCCUUUUUAGGUUUUAGUUGUCUUUUGCCGGUGCUGGUGCUUCUCUUUCGCUGACUCUGCCUCUCCUUCGUGUUUGUCUGUUAGGGAGGAUUUGCAGAUGCCGUCCUCUCCUUACUUCCCAGUGGAGGCGCAGGCCGGCCAGGGGCCACCGCCUAUGGUGCAGGAGAGGUUCCAGAGCGUUAUCAGCCAGCUCUUCCAGCACGUAAGGACCUGGAAUCAACUUUAUAAGCGUUGUGUUCAUGUGUGCAAUUUUAGGGCAUUCGAUAUGGUUUUCGGUGGAUUAUGUAUGGUUAUCUGUUAGUGUGACAUUUUCUCUUGUAUCGAUUGGAUUACGAUGCCGUAGUAACAAUGGUUCCUUUUCCAGAGAAUAAUCCGCUGUGGUGGGGCGGUUGAUGAUGACAUGGCCAAUAUCAUUGUUGCGCAGCUGCUGUAUCUUGAUGCCAUUGAUCCUAAUAAGGUCCCUAUUUCUCAUUUAUUUUGAACUGAAAUAUCAUUGAAUUAAUGGUUAUGUCUCUUAUUGAUGGGCACCUUACGUGUUAACUUCUUGGAACUCUGGUGGUCUUUCUCUAAUUCCGCGUGAAUAUGCGACAGAGAGUGCUCCUCACUUUUUGUAAACCGGUAACUGCUGAAUACUAGGAUAUUUUCUUUUUUCAAAAAGAAAAAGGAAACUCAUUCAUAUGAUCAUUUCCUCUGAAACACAUGCGAUCUGAGGGGCAUCAAUUCAAGGAUGAUCUGAUACGCAUAAAAGUGUUUUUUUCCUCCUGUAGUUUGGUAGUGUCCCAAAAUUAGAUUGUGCCACUAGCAAUUGGAGAGCGAAGCAAAACACUUGUCAGAUAAACAUGAUUCUUGAGAUUAAAGAGUAAAAUGUUAGGACUAAUCAAUUUCCCACACUAUUUAUAAAGGUUUCCGAAUCUGUUCUCAAAUUGGGCGGUCGUUCAGAGUAGGAAAGACAGCUGUAAAAUACAUUUCUUGUUUACUUGGAAUACCUCCCUCAAAUUUGGAGAAUUUUUUCCCCGAUGUCAAUGGAACUCACACUUUGUUCAUGCAUUGAAAGCUCAUGUUGCAUGCAUCGAGGGCUUUCUGUGUUUGCACCCGAGUUUUCUUAAAGAGAAAACAAUAUAAUGUAGCUAUUUGCUUACAACGCGCAUGUUUUAUUAUGGGUAUCUUUUCGAAGUAUGUUUUUUAUUGGAUUUCAAAUCCACUUGUCUCUGGAAUGGGUGUUAUUCUAUCCUCAUUGCUGUGUAAUAGGUUGUUACUAAUAGCCCUAGAGGCACUUGCCUGGAAUGGGUGGAGGAUUUCGUGACUAUCAUCAGAUUUUUAGUAUCAAGGCCUCAUCAGAUUUUCUACAAACUCCUCUUUCGUGAUCAUGCUUGUUCAGUUGAAUUACGUUACAGAGAGGCUGAACUUGCUCGUAUACCUGGAAAUUCAUUUUUUUUGUGUCAAGCAGACGCCCUGAUUAUGUUCCUGAAAAAGCUAUACAUCUGUGUGGUAACAAGGGUGUGAGGUAUUUUAUUAUGGCCCAGAGCUAUUUUCAAAUAAUGGUUUUAAAAUCAUGCAUGUAAAUGAAGAGGAGGUUAUAGGUUGUAUUUUCAACAUGCGCAUGUCUUUUUGCAUUUUCUUGUAAAAUAAUAAAUUUAUGUUGGCAUGUAGUGAAAAAAAAUUAACGAUAUGGCCAUAGAUUCACUAUGCAGCCUCCAAUGUGACAGCCGUACGUACAAGGGUAUCACCUUCUUCACGUAAUUCAUACAAUAGAAUAAUGUUUCAUGCGAUUGCAAUUGAAAUAUAAUUGUAAAGAAAUUAUACUCUCAUCUGCUUCUCUGGGUGAAAUGACUAUUCUGAAUAGUCAUAAGAGUCUUACUGUAUUCACCUAGGCUUCUUUUGACCGCUCUCGUUAUGCAUCUUCCUCGUGUCUUUAAAUGUCGUAUCUCCACUUCUGAUGUUGAGAAAAAAAGGCAUUCGUGGGCAUGCAUAAUAAUUGCGAAAUGUAUUAAAUACACAAGUACACAUGGGAAAUAAUGGUGCUUGCCAGAUUUAAUUUCUCUUGAGGGAGGUAACGUUUUAGCAAAGAAUAUUUAAUGCAAUUGUAAUCCUGUUGUAUGUUUUCGUACCUUUGUAAUCCUGGGGUUUGGAACUGAACUGCCUUGAAAACAGUUUUUUAAAAUGGUAAUCCGGACUGUGUUGAUCUCAGAUUAUCAAUCUCCUAACACAUGUUCUGAGUUGGCCAAGCCUAGGAAUAUUUUGCUUCUGUUAGAACGUGUGUUGUUUCCAUGUGAUUGUGUCGUUUUUGGCUAAAUAUGCUGCCAACUUCGUUGGGAGAAUUCGCAAAGACAGAUAAACGUUUCGUGACUUGGAAUUAAAUUGCUGGGAGACGUCCUCUUUUGAUUGCUUCCAACUCUCGUCUGCUCUUGACUUCUUCCAUAAUGCACAAGGGGGUGGGUGCGUGGCUGUGGGAUUUCAGAGAGAAGCUUUCCUCAUCUCCCCUUAAACUUGGUGUUGAUCAUGUAGGACAUUGUCAUGUACGUGAACUCCCCAGGAGGAUCGGUGACAGCAGGUAAUAAUAAAUGCUUCUCUCAUGUUACUUUCUCAUUAUUUUUCUGCAUUUGAUUAGAACCCUAGGGUAUCUCGUUCACCAUUUAAUAUUGAAAUUCGACUGCACCAACCUUGUAGGCAUGGCAAUCUUUGAUACAAUGAGGCACAUAAGGCCUGAUGUCUCCACCGUCUGCGUGGGACUGGCGGCGAGGUAAGAGCCUUUACACUCGAUCUCUCCUGAUUGAAUCAUCUGGUAAAACGCAUGGCGCGUGAUUGUCUGAUGUUAUCAAUUUCCCGUUGGACGCCACUGGUUUCUCUGUCUACGCAGUAUGGGUGCCUUCCUCCUCAGCGCCGGAACAAAGGGUAAGUGAAGCAUCUGCUCACCCAGUGAUCUGCCUAGCCGGCAUGCCCUCAUGGCUAGAGUUCUGAUGCAGGGAAGAGGUACAGCCUGCCCAACUCCAGAAUUAUGAUCCACCAGCCUCUCGGCGGCGCCCAGGGUGGGCAGACUGACAUCGACAUUCAGGUGAGCGCCGCUGCUUCUCCUUGCCGCCAUGUCGUGUGACCGGCGGCUGAACUCGGGCUGCUCCCCGGCAGGCAAAUGAAAUGCUGCACCACAAGGCAAACCUGAACGGGUACCUGGCGUACCACACGGGGCAGAGCCUGGAGAGGAUCAACCAGGACACCGACCGGGACUUCUUCAUGAGCGCCAAGGAGGCGAAGGAGUACGGCCUCAUCGACGGCGUCAUCACCAACCCACUCAAGGCCCUCCAGCCCCUGCCCCCCACAGAGCAGUGAGAGAUCAUCGAAGAGACAAGGAAGGAGGAGGAGCCGUAAUGGGUCGCUUUAGGAGUCCUUUUCUUCCUCUGUUUACAUCAUUCUCUGGUGAUUUUGCAGCUGUUUAGGGAUUUUUAACCGAGUUGCCUUCACAGAAAAAAAAACCCGGAAAAUAUUCCUGCUGCCCUCAUUUUUAUUUUUUUUGUUGGUUUUAGCUCUACUAGGUUUCUGCAUGCGAGCUGGUUUGAAGGUAUUUUUUUUGAGGCGUCUAGGAGGGCUCUUUGUUCUUCAGGAAUUUUGGCGGCCACUCUUCCAUCCAAACACCUGCUCCACGAUUUCCUCAAAAACUCAAGUAGAAAAAAGAAUAUUCUUAGGGUCGUCCCUCGUCUAACAGAGAGAGAGAGAGAGACAGAGACAGAGAGAGGAGAAAAUAAAAGACCAGUUCUAGCGUCAUAGAGCGAGAGAGAGAGAGAGAGAGAGAGAGAGAGAGAGAGAGAGNNNNNNNNNNNNNNNNNNNNNNNNNNNNNNNNNNNNNNNNNNNNNNNNNNNNNNNNNNNNNNNNNNNNNNNNNNNNNNNNNNNNNNNNNNNNNNNNNNNNNNNNNNNNNNNNNNNNNNNNNNNNNNGAGAGAGAGAGGUGACAAAUAAAAACUAGUCUUUCGGUCAUUUAUAAGGGUUACGCGACGAAAUCGGCAUAGAUAGUUGGCCAGAAGACUAAAUCCUUUGGUUAAGUUUUCGGGGGUUAAAUACCGGCGAAAACAAGUAUCGGACUUAUAAAUAAUAAAUGUUAUGUUAUAGGACGAAAAGUAAGUUUUAUAUCCUUUGGGUAUAAUGAUAAUAUAUAAUAGUUUGAGGUUCAUUAGAAACCCACAUCUUCGAAAAACCCCUCUCUCUCUCGCUCUCUCUCUCUCCCCUCUCUGUGCUGCCCGUGUCGCUCGACAGGAUCGCCGGACCCUUGUUAUGUUAUAGGGCGUAGCCUUGCUCGUCCGCGGCUCCACAGCGGCUGUCUUGCCCGAAUCUCUGAGCAACCGCGGGUCAUCCACAAGUUGCCGGGUUCGCCACCGGAAGCCAUACUCCGUCGUGCAGAAGGUGCUUUUUAUAUUUGCAUGCGUUUAUAUUUUCUGCAGGAAGGUAUUUAUCCAGCCGGUAUCAUGCGCAAUCUUGUUUCCUAUGCCGGGGAAAAAGUGGAUGAGACUAGUUUUUGCUGAUUUUCCUCAAUUACUAGUAUUCCUGUUUUUCCGACCGAAUCCAUCCUGUCGGAAUUGCAAUCUUCUUCCCUGUGACCACGGAAAAGAGGACACUAGUAUUGUUAAUUUUCGUCAACUGAUGUAGUUCUCUCAGGGAACGAAAUAAAUUCCUACGCCUUUAAGUUUUGAUGUGUGGCCGAGAGCUGGUGGCAAGGUGGAUGCCUUUAGCGUUUGUGAUGUUUUGCUCGGUCUGUUGUUGGUUAUCUAGGUGGCUGACAUUUCAUAGGUGGCUUUGGGGGACGAUGCAGGGUGCUUCUGAAGUUCUUGCUCCCCGUCCGGAUUCCAUUUCAAUGUUUGUCUUCCUGGGGAAGAAUCAAGGGAUUUUUAGAAGCGCUCGAAGAAUCUUCUUCCCCAAAUGUUGCUCAGAACUUGGAGUACUUCCGUAUUACGAUUAUCUAUCUAUUUCUCAUCCUUCAGUGGAGGGAUUAGCUUCGGCAACCAGAUAUCAGGAUCGCCAUCUAUGUACCGAAGCAAGUAUACCUUCUUUUGGAUUAGAGGAGAAGGAGGCUGCCCGUCGAAUUCGUCAUGUCAUAUCUAGAAUGUGUAAUGGGACUGUUGAGGAUGUUGUCAAUCGGCUUCAACAUGAUCAGGAUUGUUCUGGGAUCCAGAUCUCAGUCUCCCUCGUGGAAAGUUUGUUGGGUGGGUUUGGAGAUGACUGGAAGUCUGCUAUGGGGUUUUUUAGGUGGGCUGCUUUGUGCUCCGGAUAUAAACAUACAUUGACAUCGUAUAAUAAAAUGGUAGACUUGUUGGGAAAGAUGAAGCAAUUCAAUAGAAUGGUAGAGUUGGUCAGUGAGAUGCGUGAAGAGGGUCUCAUUACAAUUGUGACACUUGCAAAGGUGAUGAGGCGAUUCACAGGUGCCGGGAAGUUUGAACAAGCCAUUGAGAUCUUUAAUAAUUUGGAUUCUUUUGGACUCACUAAGAACACAGAGGCAAUGAACAUCCUGCUUGACACCCUUUCCAAAGAGAAACAUGUUGAGACUGCGCGAGAGGUCUUUCUAGAACUCAAAUCCAAGAUUCCACCCGAUGCUUACACAUUCAACAUUUUUGUCCACGGGUGGUGCAAGGCUAAUCGUAUUGAUGAGGCUGAAUGGACGAUUCUAGAGAUGAAAGGCUAUGGUUUCCGCCCUUCGGUGAUCACAUACUCGACCAUCCUCGAAGCUCACUGCAGGAACUGCAGUGUUCAUAGGGUUUAUGAGCUUCUAGACAAGAUGCAUACCGAGGGAUGCAUUCCUAAUGUUGUCACAUACACUAUUGUCAUGCAUUCACUGGCUAAGUCCCAUGGGUAUGAAGCUGCAUUGCAAAUAGUCGACAGGAUGAAUGCUUCUGGAUGUAAACCUGAUACACUCUUCUACAAUUCCUUGAUCUAUGUGCUAGGGAGGGCUGGUCGGUUGUCUGAAGCCUCCCGUGUAUUUGAGAGGGAUAUGCAUCUGAAUGGGGUAAAAGCUGAUCUGUCAACUUACAACACCAUGAUCUCAGUCUUCUGUCACCACUCAUGCGAAAAAGAAGCGUUAAAAGUGUUGGAGAAGAUGGAAAAUGCUUCUUGUAUCCCUGACCUCCUGACAUACAGUCCACUACUUAAACUGUGUUUGAAGAAAGGGAAGACUGUUGAUCUACUCUCCUUUCUGAUGAACGACAUUGUCAACAAGUACCAAUUAAGUCUGGACUUAGCAACAUAUUCUCUCUUGAUCCAUGGGCUAUGUAGAGUUGGGAAAACUGAUUGGGCAUUCCUUCUCUUUGAGGAAAUGAUAAAUCAAGAAAUAGUCCCUAGGAAUCGGACAUGGAAAUUGCUCUUGAAGGAAGCUGAAGAAAGGAGUAUGCAUGGCACUGUAGAAAGGAUCAAAGACUUGAUGAAGCAAAGCAGACACUUUGGUUGUUCUGAAUAGAAGACUAGUUUUCUGACUUUGUUGACUUAUUUGUUGUAUAAAAUCGAUUUUAUAAGUUCAAACUCCUGAUUUAGCAAAACAGUGGUGCCAUUUUUGUGUUCGAUGCCUAACUCAUUACUCUGUCAGUUGUGGCUGAUCACAGAUAAUUUUGUACAUUCUCUUACUUAGAUAUACUUAAUUUGAACCUUUUGCACGUAAUUGAUUUUGAGAUGUACUGCUUUCAAAUUUUCAGAAGAGGUAGGACACAGUUGUUGGAUAUUUUGCCUCACGACGUAUGAUAACAUAUUAAUCAUGUUUACUUGAUACUAUUUUGUUAAGGCGAGUGUUUCUUAGAUAUCCAUAUGGAAGGUUUUCUGCUUAUUUCAUACCAUUUGUAGGGCCAAUAUUAAUAAUCUCAAUUAUGCUUCCAAGGAAGCAACCAAAUAUUCUGUGAAAAUAUUCAGAAAAAUGAAUUAUGUAGAUUUGCCUUUGAAAAUUGUUGAUGGCAACAGUUAUUCGUGGAGUUCCUCUCUGUGGCUUGGAAAUUAAGAAAUUCUAACUCUCUUUGUGUAGUAUCUUUUCCAAUGUGCUCUCAGACUUCCCUUGAAAAAUUCUUGAACUUGUGAAAAUAAAUACACGUCACCGGUAGUAUCAAAGACCAUGCUUGUCAUCAGCGUAAAUGACACGAAUUAGUCUCUGCCCAUUAUGGCUUAUUUCAUGAUGCCACAUUUUCAGAUAUUUAUUUUAUCUACCGAUUUUAGCCUUUCCUCCCUGGUAUGCACUGUUCACAAAGUAAUCCUUCUCAUCAGUUAGGAUCCUUUUCUAUUGCUUUUGCGUUGAUACUAUUAUUCUUUAACACUUUUUUUUGCCGGAAUUUUUCCAUAGCCUGUCAAUCGCCAUCAUCUUAAAUGAUAUGGCGUCAUUUGGGGAUGGGAAGAUCCACUGAAGUAUCUAGAGAUCUGUGGAGUUCUCUGAUGGUAUAUCUUGAUUGACAUAAGCGCGCUAUAAGAUGAUAUAAUGUACUUGGUCAAAAUCCCAAUAUGAUUCUGGACAUGAGAAGUCCUCUUGAAAGUGUUAGACGAGGUGGUGGUGGAUGGAAACUGUCAUCUUGGUCAUAGUUUAAGCUUAUAUAAACGUUAAAGUUAGAAAGAUUCUUCAGAAGAAUUAUGUAAACCUUGAUAAUAAUUUAGAUAAAGGGAAUUGUAACGAAUUUGGUGUUAGGACAUUAUCUUCUUUUUGGUGGCUGUAAUGAAAAUAAUGAAUGAUAAAACAAUUCUAUAAGAUUGGUAAUUGCUUUUGAAUCAAAUGGAGCUUUUGAAAUGCUAAUUCAAUAUUCCUCUUCUACUUAUCACAAUGUGUUUAAAGCCAUCUCAUCGUAGUUUGUGAAUGUCUCAUUUUAAGAAUUCUGAAUAAUGGUUUCUGAUGAGUUGCUUUUUUAAUGGUUUUUCGAGUACUUGGUUCAUUGGAUGGGAAGUACUACCUCCUAAUAGGUGCUAAGAGCAGUUUACUGGACGCCAGUCGGUUGGCAGUGAAUUUAUGUAGAUAUAGGUUUUCUGCAUUCAAUGCAAAAUUUGUUUUGAUGUAGGCCCAGUAGUCAAAUGAGUCAGUUUGAUACCAGCUUUUGCAGAAUCUGCGCAUUAUUCUAAAUUUUUUAAUGAAUGAUACAUUGUUAUUUUAUCAAGAUGUGAAGCUUUGUCCGAAUGUGACUGAUAAAAUGCUGCUGCAUAGUAUGAGAGAAGUGAAAAUAAGUUAUAUGAAAGAGCUACACCAUUCAUUCCCUCACAAAUUAGAGAAACCUAAUGAGGUAGGAUACUUCUAGACAGUCUUUCACUUCUGCCCUAAUUUUUUAUCAUCUACUUGAAAGAAUCUUUCUUCUCAGUAAUUCUAGCUCAGCAUAAUCCAUCUUUGUGGGAAGAUAUGUAUAUCUCUGUAGGCAUCUCAUCAUUUCUUAUGGUAGGAUGGUAGGUGUCCCCUUUUCAUUUGAUGGAUUAUUUAUGUUUCUACAGUUUUUAAAUAUGGGAUUGGACAAAUUUUGACCUAAUUCGCUAAGGAUAAAACGCUUCAUCAUACUGUAACUGAAGUAAAGUUUUGUGGCUUGAAUUCUUUUACAAAUGGUAAGGCCGUCUAUCUAAAUGUUCGUACAAGCUUGCUCUCAGGCUGAAAUCUAUUAUAUCAAGUCUAUUGGAGACCGUGUGCAAAUACAUUGCUUAUACUUAUCAAGUUCAUAAGAUUCUUUUAUGGAAGAAAUGGAAUGCCAUUAUAACAGCAGCUUACCUGGAAAUGUGAUUGAUCAGCUUACGGUUCACGAGACUUAGCUGAAAAAUUAAAUCUAUUUAUGGUUGGGCUAUUAGGAUUGGAUUUACCGUGCUGGCUCUCUGGCAUUAGCCACAGGGAAGAGUAACUCUUGAUGUGUGGUCACUUGGCUUCGGCUAGUUGAUGAGUGUCAGUAUCCAGUGAGAAAUAAUGAAAAGUAAUCUCCAUCAUCUCGUUAUUCACGUUCAGGCAUCACUGGACCAUUAUGCACAUUUGUAAUACAGAAUGAAAUGAACUGUGCCCAAAUGGACCAGUGAAAAGCAGAGAAACACAAAUUCCGAUCUGUCAGAGUGAGAAGCAUAAUUUUACUCAUCGUUCCCAUCAAGAUAUCAAUGUUCUAGGACUGAGAGCUCCUUCAAGAUUCGUUCUCACCCUUCCAUGGAACUUUCCCUUACGCCUAUUUGUGCCUAGCCAUUCUUCAAUUGUUUUUUCUCGAGUUUUGGUUUUCGGCGCAACAUCUUGGUUUCUUUUAUUUGAGCACGCCUGUUUUUAUUCUGUGCCUUUGAGUUUCAUCAUAUAAUGCAGUCCGAUUACCCCAUCCAUCUCCCCCAUCUAGCAUACCUAUCAUUAAGGCAACGCUGUUGCGGUUUCUAGCAAAGCCUUGCGGCCACUUAGCCAUCAGGCAUAUCGGUUCCAUUAAUUUAUGAGAUAUGAAAACCCAAAUGAGCCCUUGUUUGUUUGGAUCUCUUCCAUAAAUGCUGAUGCUAUCUAGUUUGACUGUAAUCAGCUGGCCCCUACAUAGGUUUUGAUAGACUGGAAUCCCAAGGAAUGAGCUGGAAGUCAACCAAGACUAUCUUUUUUUACUUCAUUGGCGAAUCCCGAGGCCAUCUCUACUACUAUCCACUUCUUCUUGCAUGCCUUAUUUACUGCCCAGCCGUCUGCCCCAUGUAAAAUAGUUGACAUUAUGGUCAUGUUCUCGUACACUCUUUUAAAGCCUCAUAGACGAUCACCCGGCAUAUACUGCAUGUUGAUUGCAGUUCCUCCUUUUCAAUCGUAUCGACAGUAUGGGCUUCAAUUCUCUUUGUUUUUAUGCUUGAAACAGAUCUAGAUGCCAAAAAUUUUACUUGUAGAUGUUUCCCGUCCUUAAAUGGUGCAUCCGUAGCCAUUAUCCUUCGUGAUCCACCGCCAGAUAUUUUUAGUUCGGUUAUGGCCCAUUGUCCAUCUCAUCUCUCAGAGAUUGUAUGCACAAUCAAUCUACCAUACCCGCGUGUUCUUCUGUCUCCGUAUACUUCUUGUAUACAUGCCGGUGGACAAUAUGGGCCUGGUGCACAAGUUUACGUAGAUGAGUUCCUAUCCGAUGUCUUAAUUGAACUUUUCCCCUGAUGCCAAGCUCCCUUGGCUACUGUUCCUGAGGUUAUGUAGAGUGCUUCGGAAAAUGAGGUCAUUUUAAAAAAAAAUUACUGGUAAAACUGCCGAGGGACUAAAGGAAAGCUUUUUGUAGACUAGUGCUCAUGUAAUUUUGAUAAAUUUAGUACUGGAAUCUCUUCAAAUUCUCUUCCGUUCGCUGUAAUGUGUUUCGACAAAACGCAGAGUGGCUGGAUCGUGAAGAAGAAGGCAAGCGAGGAUGGCGACGAGCUGCGCGAAACUCUCGAGGCGCAUCUCCCUGAUGGGGGUGCCGGCGGGCAGUAGAGGGUUUGCGGCGGGCGGCGCCAAAGCGAAGAAGGGCUCCAAGGGAGGGGGUGACGCGCCGAAGGCCUCCACCAUCUCCAACGAGGUGAAGGCCUCCACGGUGGUCGGGGCCAACAUUCUCAAAGACGGGGUCGACCCCAAGGUCAUGCCGGACGCGGACUACCCCGACUGGCUGUGGCGCCUGCUCGACAAGCGCCCCCCCCUGAGCGAGCUCCAGCGGAGGAAGCCUGAAACCCUCUCCUACGACGAGCUCCAGCGCCUCACCAAGCUCGACAACCGCGCCAGAAUCAAGGAGAACAACGCCGUCAGGGCCAAGAACUGAUCGAUCGAACGAUCCUCCCCCUCCCCUGCGUUUUUAGGUUCGUUUCCCUGUCAGAGAUCGAUGCUUCAGGAGACGGAAAAGAUUUUCCCUAUUUUACAUGAUAUGCGCAAAAGCUUCAUCCCGCUCCGGCGACUGGGCAUCGAUAUUUACAGAGGAGAGAAGGGAAGAAGGCCGAGACGACGGCGGCGCCGGGGGAUGCCCGCCGGUCAGGAGAUUUCGACGGGGCGGACUGUGGGCUCGCCGGCGGCGGCCGUCUCCUUCUUGGGCACCUUCAGGGUGAGCACGCCGCUGUCCAGCGAGCAUUGAAGGGCGUCCAUGUCGGCGUUCUCCGGCAGGCGGAAGCGCCGGUGGAAGCUCCCCGCGCCACGCCGCUCCCGCCGGUGCCAUGUUCCCCCCGCGGGGGACUCUUCUUCCUCCUUGCCGGCACGCUCCCCGCGGAGGUCGAGGACCUUCCCGUCCUCCACUUGAACCUUCAGCUCCUCCCUCUUCAGCCCUGCCGUCGCAGAGAGAUCAGAAAACAGGCUAACACCGCCGCAACGUUAACAGGAGUCGCCACUUACCCGGGACGUCGACGCGGAACAUGUGGGUAUCAGGUGUCUCUCGCCAGUCGACGGCGACGGCGCCCUCUCCCCGGCGCCGCCCGCGGCGGCCAGCGUUGGGCUCCCACCCGAAGCCUAUGUCGAAGGGGUCCCAGACGUCCCAAGAGAAAGGAUCGUAGUAGUCACCUCCCCAAGGCAUCAACGACGCCAUGCGCCCCCUCCCCCCCUGCUUCUUCUUCUUCUUCUGCGAAGAGAGACGAUAAGCUUAAAGGAGCUGGACGCUCUUUUAUGGCGAGAAGCGGCGGACAUGCAACCUGCCGCGUCCGCCAGAGGCGUGUCGGGGCAGGGGCAGCCCUCGAGGUCCCACCUGGCUCUACGCGUCGCCGCUAAGAGGCCGGCUGAGCUGCCCGACGGAGAACUCUCCUCCCCUGGACACGAACGGCUGGGCGCCGCCACAUCACACAGCUCGCUGCCUUCUUUCUCGGUGAUCCAUGGUCAACCAUAUGGAUCAAAGCGACCUUUUUGGGUAAUGUCAACGUCUGGUUUUAGAGCGAGGAAGGAGGCUGUCAUGAGAAUGCCCGGUUUUUUUCCGCCCACGAGCGCUGUACAUGGCACGGUGUCCCGACGAACGGAGGAGCCUAAUCCUCGAACAUCCCCUCGUCCGACACGCCGGGCGACUCCGUGCCGUUGACAAAGGGCUUGCCCGCGGAGACCGAGCUGGAGUCGCCGAGAAUCUCGUAGUCAAAAUCCAAGCCAUCGUCAUCGUCUUCUUCCUCCUCUUCUGUGUCCUGCUCGGCGUUCUCCCUGUGGGCGUCCCUCCGGCUGCUGCCUUCCCCGCGGGUCUGCUGCUUGAUCGCCUCCUCGUAGGGCAUAUCGUACCAGACCUUGCCUUUGCCGACGAUGGACCGGUUGUGGUCCUCGGUCAUCCUCUCCUGCUUGCUCUUCUCCGAGUUCUUGGGCUCCCCCCAGUAGUCGUACCGGUACAGAGGGCUCGUUGGGUCGUACCGGUCCUUCCCCAGCACGCUGUCAUCCAGAUAUCUCCCCGGCUCUUCCACCGGAAGGUCGAGGGCUCUGCGGCUGCCAUGGCGGAACCAAGAGCAACCCACAAGGAGAAGGAAAGAUCAGGAGACGCGGCCAGCACCAACAGUAAGAAGGAUGAUAAUAAAAACAGUAAUGAGCAACAAAGGACGAGAGAAGCUCGUUCAAUCCUUGCUAAAACAGGCACACAAGAACAGCUCUCCGAUGAACUGCAUCGAGGAUGAUUGAUGAUUUUAUUCUUUUCUGGGCUGAUGCAGCCAGGUUCUCGAUGGUGUUUAAAGGGAUGGAAAGUGUGACUCGAUCCGAUUCAGGAACCAGAGACUAUGAGCUACAUCAAUCCAGGAAAUGCCGAGGAUCAGGUAAAAGAUGGGGGUUCGUGUUGGCAGCAAACCUGAGGUCAACGGCCAGCAGCCUACUAUUUUCAUCCAUCGAUUUUACGGCAUGAAUCAAUAAUCUCAAGAACAGAUCGAUAUAAUAAACAUCAAAAAACCAGUCGUGAGGUGGAUUCGUUAGCUUUUUAAAUGAAGGUCCGACUCAUUCCAUGAAUAAAUUUAUUGAUAAUCUGCUAAGAAAACUAAUUUAACUUCUAUUGUUCCCGUCUCAUUAUACCUUAUAUUCUAGCAACUAAAAUUCCUUGUCUAACAUAAUAUCGUAAAAAUUGCUACAGAUGAACAUCAUAUGACAGCGCGAAUCAGUGGCAUGGACAAUGAAACAUUAGAUUAUGAUACAGUAAAACAUGAAAAAAUCGUCUCAAAACCCAGAUAUAAUGUAGAGAAUUGACCACGAAACAUGCAUCAGGUACAUUUAUGCAGCAUGCUAUAUAACUAAGCAUAUUCACCCGAAAAAUUAUAGGUGGAUCACGAUUCUUAAUUUGAACUGUGCAAGUCAAAAGAGGAAUUUUCAUCAUCGGCAUAUUGGGUAUCGCAGUUUAUCUAAUCUUUAUAUUGAAGGCAUUGAAUGAGAGAACAUACACACUAAUAUCUCUGAUCAAAGCCUCUCUUUCUUCCAAUGACCGCCGCCAAUGCAGAAAAUCGUACUCGUCCAUUUCAAUCAUCCGCUUCAUCUUUGGCAAUUUGAAUUCUUCUCCUCUCUCUCUGGCUUCGUUCUUGAGUCUAUUGUUGAGCUAGAUCAGGGCAACAGAACCAUUGGGCAACAUCCGAAUCGUCAGAUCUUUUAGAGAGACAAUAUCAAGUAGAAAAUACAGAAUUUCUGGUAAAAAACCACUAUUGCGAAGAUUAAGCAUACCAAAGCCUGUGAUGAGGGCAACAAACAUGUCAAAUUUCCACAAAAUCGUGUUUAACACGUAAAAAUGAAUAUUAAAGAUUGUAGGCAAUCAGGUGGAUUUAUUUCUGCUCGUCAUCGAUACAUCAGAGAAUGGAAAAGCAUAAAAUAGGAUUGGCAUUUGAAGCAGAUGACCCCAGCCUUCGGAACACCAACUAUUAGACACGCGAAACAUUCCCCUAGAACCUUGUCUAGCAUAAAAAGUAGAAGCUCAAAAAAGAAUAGGUAAUUUAUCCCACUGAUGGAGAUCUGCGCCAUCAUUCUCUGACCUCAGGAUAUAUUUUGCAAAUCUUUCAAACACAGGAAAAUAAUCUCUCUCACCCAAGCAUGAAAAUGAGUAAAACUUCAGAGCACCUCAUUCAAUUGGUCUGACCAAGAAAAUAAAUUUUAAAUAUUUAUCUUCCAUCCUCGCCUAUAUCCAUGGACAAGAAAGGUUAUUAUUAUUUCCUCUACCCCGUAAUAGGAUAUGAAAUACUGAACUCAACAGUAGAUAAUGGCACGCCAGAAAUGAAAGCCACUUGUCACAGGCCCGCAAUUCAACCCAAGGAUCACCAACUCUCAGUUUAGGCUUCUAAAUCCAUGGUCUCACAAGGCAAACACUAUUGAUCAUCUGUCAUCACUCGAAUCGAAGAUCAACAUCCCUCUACCAUCCAUUUUUGUUUAAUGAGCAUCAGCCCACAAGAUUCUGAGAGCUUUCAUGUUAAAAUUGGUUCCAAGAAAUAGUUUCGCACUUGGGGAAUCAGCUAUUUGUCAGUUAGAGACGUCGAAAUGUUGGCCUCAAAGAUUGUAAAAAUCCUGCUCGUCUAGAAACAGGAAAGAUUUAUAUAUUUAAUAAGGAAAGAGUAUAAAGUUACCAAAAAAAACAAUAGAUACCAUCAAACCAUUUGCGUUUCACGAAAGGAAAACCUUUUUUCCGUCUGAAACACCAGAAAUCAUGUAUGCGAAUACUUCCUAUAAUCAGGUUGACAUAAUGAACAAGACUAACCUGUCUUUCAGCUCGAGCAGCAUCUAGAUCAAGUUCCCUUACAUUAGUUUUCUGUCAAAUCACAAAAAAAAAUAAUAGUUAUACAGGGGGACAAUGAUCCUCAACACUUCAUAAUGCAAGGACCCAGUAGCUGUAAUUUCACCAUAAUCGUCUUUGGGAGCCACGAUUUUUUGUAGUAGACUUCGGUGUGUUCCAUACUAUGCUCUUCAUCAUAAGGAGCAUUGAAAAAUGAUUCGAGGAAUUCUUUGUCCUUGUAUUUCUCCGGAUUUUUCUCCUCAUCAUCCAGAAUCAUUUGUUCUGAUACAUGAAGUUGCCAUAACUGCACACAAUAAUUUCAAAUGCAUACCACACUCUUCAGUUUAUCACACUUAAUUAAAUAUCUAAUCAUAAUAACAGGAAAAACACAAACUUAAAGAAAAAAAAGUACACGAAGUUCAUUCGCCAAAUGAGAUAAAACAUUAGCAACCUUACACCCAACAAAAACUCGAUAAAGCAGAAGGAAAUCAGCAAAGCAGGCUCAAAUUAGACCAUGUAGCUACCUAUAAGCUAGAUGAUUAAAAAUUGUUCAAAUUUUGAUUUAUGAGGAACAAACUUUUUAUUAAAUUCCAAAGAUGAAUUCCAUCAUAUCAUAAACUUGUAAUAUAUUCCCUUUUAUAGAAAAGAGGAGAAGAAUAUGAGAGUUGUCUCGAAAGCCUAUGAAAGCUUGAGUACACUACCCCAAACAAAGCAAAAUUAUGGUAAAAGUAUCUGCAUACAUUACUAGAUAAGAACUUGCACAAGAGAAAUAGCAGAUAGAACCCUAAGGACAAUGACAGAGGGAUAUCCACAUUAAGGAUUACGAGCGUAGACAAUAUUAUCCGAGUUUGAGAAAGGUAGACAAUAUUAUCUUCCAGCAUAACCAUGAAAGAAAAUAUCCCAUUGGAGCAUAAAUUACGGCAAUUCAUCCCUGCCUCAUACCUCAGAAGAUAGUUUACACAUAAAAUCAUGUAGAAAGAGUAGAUAAAUACCUUGUCAACAUACGGAUGAUUUGACAGCAAGGGCUGAUCUUCAAUUUUGUAUCCCGGAUUUUUCCUAGGAAUAGGUGGUCUUCCAGCGUCCCUCUAUGAAUGGAGACAUGAAAAAAGAAACCACAGAAAACAAUGAACAACAAACAACCGUCAAAAUAUUGAGGCAUUCUUUCUGACCUCAUGUGGGAAAAAUAGUGUAUUAUCCCUAACACGAUCCUAGUCAAUAUAAACCCGCGCUGCAAAAUUCAGGAAAGAAAAAUAAGUAAAAUUUAUUUGGGGGCGCUGCCUUUUCCAGAGAGAUUGGGUUUAUUCUCAGCUCGACCAGAUUUGUGAACCGGUCCAGCUCUUGCAACUCAUACUAGAGAGGUGCUUAAAUCCACAUAUUUAUUGAGAGAUGGAAUGUUCUUACAAUCCAUAUUUGACAGAUAGUCAUUAAUAUCAAAAGAUUUUUUGAGAGAUACAAUGGUGAAUCAAUGUCUGGUGGAAUUUGGGAAGGCAUGGACAAUAGACAUGUGAGAUUAGAGAUUCCACAUAUAACAGCAGCCUUUCUGCAACAUGGAGGGUCAACAUGAGUCAGUCAGUGCGUGAGGAUGCAUGUGAAUGCAUUGGGAGAGGGGAGAGAGAAAGAGAGAGAUCUUGCAAUGGACUGCCAGAGCUAUCGCCUACCCUUUUUCCAUCUCUCCCUCCAAUGGCCUGUAUGCCUGGUGCCAGUUCAUAACCACCCCCUACCCCGCCCAAAAAAGUUCCCCACUACCCCGACUUGAGCAAAAUUUUACAAGGAUGAGAAAAAAGAAAGGAAAAAGAAAUGAUCUAUAGUUGUUUCCAAUAGAUCGCCAUCAUCAGCAUCACCAAAGGUCAACUAUUCCUAAUCACAACUAUUGGCCCCACCAUAUUACCUUCAUCAUUAUCUUAUCCCACUUUAUUGUCACUGCCACAUGACAAGGAUGGAGAUUCCAUCCUAAACACGAACUUAAGUCCUUUGUUAUCACACUCUGCAACACAUUAUCUUCCAGUUUAGUUCACAAGCUGAGACACUGGGAGCAUACUUUAUACUGCGUGGAGUUUUUUCUUUUGCAGUCUAAUUAAAACCUAACUGCUGAUGAUCUUUAUCACAAUAAGAUCAGAUCUCCCAGCCCGUCAUGGACUUUCUUUCUUAGAUCAGUAGAACGCCAUGGAAGGGAAAAAUUAACUUUCUUUCCCACUUUACACUCUCAUUGCAUUGUCCUUUCCUCCCCAACGAGCCCUGCUGGCCCCUUUGUUCACGUGUUCUCCGGUUUUAUAUAUUUCUAUCUUUUGCCCUAGCUGCUGUCCGCGUCCAUUUAUACAUGACAACAAUUGGGAUGGAAAAUGCAAAUCAACAUGCCUUUAGACUACUUAAUGCAUAAUUUUUUCAGCCAAGAAGCAGCAGAUUCAAGAGUGCAGUUAACGUUACACACAACGGAACUGUGCCGAAGCCACAAAGGAGAAGGAUUUUUCAAGAUAAAAACUGGAUCAAUGAGAUUAAUCUUUUAUUUCAUAUUAUGCAUGAUGAUUAAGAUAUGAUUUGUAACGCAAGAGAGAAAAAUCUACCCAAGAGCUCUGCAAAUCAAAAACUGAGUAAAUCACAUUACCCAGAGUUCUUCUGGAUUUUUGUCUUCUUCUCGAUGAAAGAUUGGUGGAAACUCAAACCUAUUGAAUCUGCAUACCAAAAAGAGUGCAAGCAGAAAAUAAAUGACAUAUGUAAUAAUCAAUGAAUUAAAAAAGAUAACGCCUAAAAAAUUAAUAAAAAACGAAUCAAGUAUUUUUUUUCCAGAAAACUAAACAUGGAGCAAAUUCCAAGGUAUGUUAUAAUGUGAGAUAUGAAUAAAAUAGAUGGAUUAAAAUGAUUGAAUGCAAAUAAUGAUGCACGUUAUCACAUACAGCACAUUUUUUAAAAGGAAUUAUAAAAAUGAAUAAAAUGGUAGACAACUUUGCAAAAGAAUUCCAUACAUAUUUCAUGUAAUAAUGGCAAGAGACAAAUAGUUGGUAGCUUGAUAAAUUAAAUGUAGAGGAUGGCAAAUUCUUUGACUAGGAACAAAUUCUUUGACAAGAGACGCCAUUCCUUGCAUGAUGUUGAAUUCCCGACUUUAAUAAGUAGAGUGACAAAAGUAUUUAGAAGAGAUGGAUCACAAACAAGCCACGUACAUUAGGUGAUCUAUGUUAGGAUCAACAAAGCGCAUUUCAAGCGGAAAUCGAAACCGAUAAGGAUCUCGUUUAGCCUGCAAAGAACAAAGAGGAAGAUAAGAGUGACUUUCUGCUGGAAUUAUUACAGAUACCAUGAAAGAGUUUUCGGAUGUACACAGAUAAAUAUGCAAAGAGAAGAAAAUUCUGACAGGAUCUCUAUAAUAAAAAGAUGACAAAGUAUAACUUACCAGAAUUUCAACAAUUACUUGCAUACCAACUUUUAUGUGACGACGAAUCCAGUACCAAUCAUUACCCUUUAUUGGGACCCACCUAAAAGAUGGUAAGAGAUGCAUUAUAACCAGAAACCUACAACCAUAACUAGCAGAAAAAUAAGCAGCCUUGAGAACCAAAAUCCUUGAAACUGGACAAAAUUUCUGACUUCAAUUUCAUGUUUGGAUUAUAGACCAAGUAAAUGAACUUGAUUGAUGGGACAGAUGAAUUCAGAAACCAGAAAAGGAUCCUGAAACCAGAAAAACUGAUCAAUUAAGUGUAUGCUUUUAGAAGGCUACACUCCAUGAAGUCCUAAUGGCCAAAGUCAGUAAGACUCCUCACCUAUGGUAAGAAAAUUAUGUUGGUGUUUGUUUUCAAAAAACAAACUUCUGAAAUAACAGAUUGAAGAGUCUACAAGAAAGGAAUGACUCCAAUUGAAUCAUUAUUCUCUGACAGCCAUGUUCUGAACGUGGCACAUCAAAUAAAAGUAUGUACAGUUAUUGACUAUGUUCACACCUUUAUGGAAAAAAAUUCAACGGUUGGUUUUCUAAAUUCUUGGUACAACUCUGAAGAAAACAGGCAGUACAAAACUCACGGGGCAAGACAUCAUUCCAUUAAGGAAAAUCGUUUCUCACUAGAUGAGCAAACCCUCUGGUCAAGAACAACGUAUUACCCCUCAUAAACACAUCCAACGUCAACAAAUGCUCCUUGUUGAAGGUGGAGAGUGGUCACUUUUCCGACACAAAUCUGUAUUCAUGAAGCCAUUUUAUCAUAUGCUCAGAUAUAAAUGACUUCCAAGGAGCAAAAUCAAUAAAAUAAUAAAUGAAAUAAUAGAUGAAACCAACACUUGAUGGUAAUUUGGAAAGACAGGUUCUUCGUGCCUAAUCAUAGCAUCUUUUUCAGAACUAUUCAGGUAGUAUUCUUGGAAAAUAAAACAAAUAAUUUCAAAAAACAAAGAAUAGCUAGGGGGAUUUUUUUGCAAAAGAAAAAUGACAAGAAAACAUUCUACCAUACAAAUUUGAAAAUUACCAAAUAACAUCCCAGGGAAAUGAGAACAUCCCUGAUGAGUAGUUUAGUUAUGAAAAUUUGGAAGAUCCCACAUCAAGCCUCAAUGAAAUAAAAUGAUUGAAACUCAUUGACAAGAACCAUCACCAUGGGAAUAAGUAUGAUCAGUAGAAAUAACUACUCUGAAUUUUUUUAUAACAAUACAUGGUCCAUGUGAUGGCUGCGCAUUCAACUUUCCAAAAAAAUAUGCACGCAUCAUACACAUGUACCGAAGAGAAGUCUCCGGCAACUCAGACAAAGAAGCUCAAGCUUCCAGCAAACUGAUAAAUUUGAAUAAUUUCGGGGAAAACGCAAUAGCUUACCUGUCCAGGAUAAAAAAAUGGAAGCUCAAGCUGCAAUAGAAGUUAAAAGUGAUCAGUAAUGGAAAUCUGAUCACUGACGAUGAAUGUGCAGAAUAAUCAAGUAAACAAAAAUAUUUUUCACCAUGUCAUCUUUGUAGUCCUUGCCUCUUUUUCUCCUACCAGGAAAAUAAUCUUGGUCCAACUGCAUGAACAUUAAUAAGAUUGAAAUGGAUGGUUAAGUAACAAGUGGCACGAUUACCUGCCAUUUGAAAUUACUCAGAUAUUACAACAAAGACGCCAAACUCAGUAAUCAUAGGUUUCACAUCCCCCCCAAGUUACAAAACUUUGCCACAUGGGAAUAUAAAAAAGAAAAGAAAAACUUUGGGCUUAAUAAGUCAUAAAAAAAUUGGCACUGAUAGAAGCAAGUAGAGUUUAUUGAUCCUUAUAUCUAUAUCCAUUCGUAGCAUUACUUUUCUUCUUCUACUGGAAUCUGUCCUACAUACUGGAAUUUUUUUAAAAUUCAAACAACAAUGGUGAUGUAAAUGGAGCGUGGCAUCCAAACACAACACUAUAACGCAAACAAUUCUCAAAACUCUCCACUCACUUCAAAUUAAGUAAUUGACUAAUCCAUAUAGGUGUACACGGAAACAUACUUGACCAAUGUUCAGAAGUAAAACGGAUUUCAGGUCAAAUCAAACCCACAGUUGAAUUUCAAUUAAAAUUAUUUUUUUUGGAAAAAAACUGAGUAGAUCAAUAUUAUUUCCUUUAUUUUUAUGGUACUCAAGAUAAAAAAUGAUCUGAAAUGAUUUCCAAGCAUUUGGAAACAUGAACCAAAUAUUUAAUCAAAAUGAAUGGAUCUCAAAGUUUCCCAAAAAAUAGAUUAGGAAUAUUAGCGAAAAAAUCAACUACAACAAUAUUUAAUCUUUAAAUGAAUACGAUCAAUGAAAUUUCAGGAACUAAAACUGUUCUUUACCAAAAUUAGACGUGAUAUUUAAAAUUAUAAUAACAAGGGCUUGUCCAUGACAGUUGAUUAGAUUUGUCUCUUUAUAUCAAAUAAUGUUUUAAUUAACAAGUAAUUGAACUUGUUCAAGAAACAAAUAUCAUACCGCAUUUCUCAUCAGUUAUGGAAACAGUGAGAGAGUAAAUGGAGAUCAAUGGAUUCAAUACAUAUGUAGUGCCCAAAUGGUUAAUGAUGCGACCUAUUAUUCCAAGCUUUUAGCAAAACUCAGGCGCAAUGGUUCUUCUCUUGGGAUGUUGGCAAUACAUAUCCAUUCUCGAUUUCUGAUGAAUUUAGGUCAAUGAAAUAUGUCACAUAUUCGCAACAAAUAUAGGAAAUCGUCUUAUAUGUUCCUGCUUUUAGUUUCUUCCUUAAUAAAUGCUUUAAAUACUCAUUACAUUCCCCUUUCCCAGACCACCUCAAAUGUCUUUCAACAUGUAAACACAAAGAUAGCUCAAACUAUUGAAAAUACUGACAGCUUUGUCUCUGACGAGCACGAAUAAUGAUUUAAGUUCAUCAAACUCGAGAACGUUUUGUGCAUCAAAAGAUAAUUAAAAUCAUGAUAUGAGAGGAGAAAGGGAUAAUGGAACUCGCAUCUCAAGAACAACGAGAAUUAUGCACUUCAUUGUCAGAUAAAACCAACCUUAAGCUCGGUCUGUUUCAGGACUUUAUAACUUGAAGCAUGUAAAGAAAUACCUCAUUAUCGAAUGUAAGUCAGUCGACCUUCAUGAUGCAUAACACGUGACCCAUGUAAUUGAUUAUGGAAAAAAUACAAACAAGCACCUAACUCUAACAAUGGCCAGCAGAUAAUCAUGGUUUUCAUUAGGAAAUUCAUCUUCUAAACACCGAAAUCAAACUUCACAACAAGGCUUUUGAUAAUGAAAUACAUUUUUCUUUCACCAGAAUCUUAAGCAGAAAAUUAAUGGUGGUCAUAAAAAAUGCUCCUUUUGGAACCUUUCAUCACCAGGAGAUUCAUGCUAUUUCUCCAUUUUUCAACGGUCUAACCCCAAGGAAUCCAGCAGCUAAUAAUCUUUAAUUACCAAGGACCACCUCCCCAGCAUUUUCAUUUCUGUUAUCUCCUCAUUUUUCACCGCCAAAUAUCAGCACAACUGUGAUUAUCCAUACAAUCUGCACUAAUUGGCAUCGAGGAUGUAGGAUUCCUCCCACCGUCCUACUCAAUCACAUUUGAUAUUGCAUUCGCAAUUUAGUCCAUUCCCUCAUUCAGCAUGUUUUCAGGUUGUCUACUCCCCUCAAAUAAGAAAUGAAAAUGGUGCACUCAGCUGAUAUAUUGAAAAGAAAUGAAAGGAAAAAAAACAAGGUGCUUUUUUUUCAUAGCCCACCCAAGGGUUAUGAAGGUUAGUCUCUUUUACGUUGGCAUCAUCGUAGAAGAAUAUAGGAAGAGUGAAACUUCCAAAAGCCACACCUUGAAUAAUUGCUAUUAAAGGGAUGGACGAGAUCAGACCUCGUAUGCCUCGUCUUCUAGCCUGUCACGGUUGGCAGCCGCCCACUCCUUGUACUGCGUCAGGAACACUUUGUACCUCUCGAGGGAGGCUGAAUCAACAUCGGUCCUCCUUUCACUCUCCAAAUCCACCCUGUCCCACUCAAGCUUGUGUGCCUCUCGAAUGAAAGCCAGCUCGUCUUUAUCCACCGUCCACCCUCUUGGAGGCCAAUCCCUUGGUGGCACCAUCCUCAACGCGAGCGGCCCGUCCCACAACGUUGGUUCCAGUGGGUCGGGGGGAUUCUUCGCCAUCUGGCUCUCUAUUUGCCACUGAGUGUAAGCUUCGCCGUCGAGGCCCUUGCUCCGGCGGUACGCGGGGCUGAGCAUUUUGAAGGCCUCAAUGGCCUCGGGAGACUGGAGGGGCACCUCCUCCCCUUCGUUAAGACUCUUCCUGGCGAAGUCGCCCUCGGGGGUGAGGAUCUCCUCCCAGGGGGCCCACCCUCUCUCGACCCAGUUCCGGCGCCGGGCCUCCUCUUCCGACUCAUUCUCCUUCGGAGCAAACUUGGCCAGGAACUCCUCAUCCACGGGCAGCUCGUCCGGAGCGUACGUGGCCCUAGGUGGCGGCAAUGGCAGGGGCACCUGGAAAAGAUGCUGCUGCUGCUGCCGCCGCCGAACACGACCCUGCUGCCACCGUGGGCGCUGCGACGAGAGGAGAGGACAGCGGACACUGUUGAGGAAAAACGGCGCGGAGGGGACGACCGCCCGGGGAAUUGCGGGGACGGAGGAGGAAGCAACGGGGAAGAAGUCGAGGGCCUGAGGAGCUUUCCAGCUACCCAUCGGGAGGUGUCUGGAGAACACCGUCAGGUAGAUGAGGCAGUGCCGGGGUUUUGGAUGGGUUUCUAACGAGAAUGAAGGCCUGCAUAGAGAUAGUCGGAUAGAGAGAGAGAGAGAGAGAGAGACGCUUACUAAUAUCUUUUAUUACUUAAAGACCGAGUUAUAUUUAAUAUUUUAUACACCACAAGAUAGACGCAUUAUUAUAAUUAUGACCUACUCUUUUCCAUCGGUGGUGUCCUAAUAAGCAGGCAUUUACCCUUUUCCCCCACGAAGGCACUUCUACUCGACUAGCCCAUAGUGACCAAUCUACCCCAAUCCAGUCCCUGUCCCUCGUCAGAUAUAGAAUGGAAUUGGUGAGAACCAAGUCCCAAGGCUUUUUAUCACCAACUAAUAUACAUUGAUUUUAUAACUAAUUAUAGUUUUAGAUUACUCAAAGCUUGCCCAUAAAGAAUAAUGGGUAAUUUUAUCUCUUAGCAAAAGGGUAUUUAUCAUCUACUAGGAUUUCCUUCAUUGUUACCACAUGCCCCUUGCAAUGAGGAGCAAAAUAUCAGUCAAGUAAAACCCUGAUUUCCCCCCUAAAAUCUCUCUUUUACGAUCAUCCUCAUAGAUGAGUGCAACAAGCAAGAGAUGAGGUAGUAAAGGGCUAAUAGUAGCCUCCUCUACAUAUGAUAUGAAGUUGGAGGGACGUGCUUGAUACUAAACUAAAGAUCUUUGUUGUUAGUCAAUGGCCAACCUUACCCAUGUUAUCUAUUUGAGGUAGAUUUUUUUUUAGGCUAAGUGAAGUAGGCUUGACUAUGAAACUAAUAGAUAUAAAGAAAUGAAUAAUUAUAAUUUAGAUGUAGAAUUUUUCAUUAAUUAUCAAUAAAAAUGCAUAUUAACCAGUACAGAUUGUAUAUCUUACAACCCUUGAAAUAAAAUUAAAAAGGAAUAUUGUCUAUGUCAAAGGUCCAUUUUUGUAGCCUUAUGGUUUGGGGAAGAACACCAAUUGAUGUAAGGUCAUGAUUUGUGUGUACAUUGAUAUUUUUCUCAUCCUAUAUUUUGGCUUUAUAUUGGAGCUUUUGAAAGCUUCUCAUUUUGAGAGCACUUUUGAAUUUAUAAUUUUAUUGGCUCAUAUUAUUUUAUUUUUAUUCAUUAUAAUUUAUGGACGCAUUAACCUUAUUUAAGACACUAUCACCUCAUCAUUAAGAAGGUAAAAAAGUGUAGAAAAUUAUCAUCUAGGCUAUUCAUGAUAUUGCCUUUAAGAGGAAGCCAAGGUGGGAGGCCUUGACCCUUUCACCCCAAUUUUCCCUCACCCUUUCCCAAUCCACAAAUUGUAAUUAAUUGCAUAUGCUUCCACAUAAAUGAUGGCUCAUGUUGUAGUCUUUGUGAUCCUCCAAUCUACUCAAAUCACUUGUUCAUUGGUGGCAACCCUUCUUUGAUUAGAGCCCACAACAUCUUUCAUUAUCUUGCCUCAUGCAUAAGCUUUUUGUGAUUGGUAACAUUCUUAAUUGCCCUUCAAUUCUUACAAGAAAGGUUCCAAUCAAAUUACUCAUCAAUUUGAGUUCAUUCAUCAUACUUGUUACAUACUGUUGAGAUGUAAUCAAUGGAGAGAAAACAAGUUUCUUGGGAAAAGAAAUUUCCUAAGUUUUGAUUCAAUAAAGAGAGUUGUGUUGGUGUCAUUAGGUUUGACAAGACCACAAAGAAAUCAGGGGUGAGAGGCGAGUUGGUCUUUUUUUCUUCAUAAUUGAAUUAAGAUGAAAUAAAUCUAAUGUAAAAGGUAAGAAAUAUUACCGUUUAUGUGAGCUCUCUCUUUUUUGGUAUGAAUGAUUAAGUUGAUAUAGUAAGAGAGAUAUUACUUUAAAAUGGUAUACCCUUUCUAAACUACUUCACUGUAUAGUGAUACAUUCUCUAUAUUCCAUUGAUCAAUAGAAAAUACAAUACGCCAAUAGUAGGCACAAAUUUACUUCUUCUAGAUUGAUCAUUUGGUAUCCUAAAUGCACCCAACACUCAUGGCUUCAAUCACUCGAACAUUAGAGAUCUAGACCUAGCUCACCAUUUUAUAUUUAUAGUUCUAGAAAUGCAUCAGUAGUUGAAAGCAGUAUUUACUAUUUAUGAGAUAUUUUUAGUACAAUAAAUGAAAUAAUAUCAAGGAGAAUUGGUCUUAUCUUACAACCAUUUUAUAUGAAACUUCAUUCUAGCAUGAAAAAAAGAUGUCAACAAAUUUCAUCUCACUACCUUAACUCAUUGAAAGAUGUCAACAAAUUUCCAUUUCGAAGUGUUAAUUUGUCAAUACCAAUCUACAUAAUUAUUAUAAAAUAUAUGUUAUGCUAAAUCAUCACAACACAACACAAAAUCCUUUUGUUACUUAACCCACAUCAUACUCUUGUGAGUUGAUAAUAGUCAUAACAUCACUAGAUUGUCAAUAGUAUAGUCCAUUUGGACAUAAUAUAUGCUACUAUCUAAGGUAGUGUGUUUGUAAUUUACUGUGUAUUUUCUACAAUAGGUCCACUAAAUAUUAUAAUUAUAUUACACAAAAUCGUUGCUUCUACAUGUAGAGAAUAUCAUCUUCAGCCCAAAAAUAAUUAAUAUCCCUUGUGACCAUUUUUUGUUAAAACUUUUUUACUAUUCCAUAUUUUAUAUAUAACAUGCAUCUCAUUUUAUAGACACUAGUGGUUGCCAUUAAUUCAUCCUAUUUCAUAUUUAUUAACUUUUAAAAACCACUGUGUCUUUCUUAAAUGACCCCAUUGAUGGCCACAUUUAACAUGUUUUAUGUGAACUUUGAAUGAUUUGAAGGAAUUACACAACUAAAAGACUGGCUCAUUAAUGAUAGUUUUUCACACACUAUUGAAAGCCUUAUGAUAAUUCAAUAUUUCUACUGUAGUCUUUACUACAAUAGUUAAUUCUUUGAUAUUUGUUGCUGACAUAAUCUACAAAUGAAUUUAUGAUAGCAACUGACUAGGUCAAGAAAAAUCAUUACUCUAAUGCUUCUUCAUGUGCUAAUUAUUAAUGAAUAGCAUAAAUUAUAUCAUUUGUCUAUAUAUCUUAACUUACAUCUAUCAUAUGGUUGAGGAAGCUGAUUUCUUCUAUGAUGAAUACAUACUUUACUAGAUUGAGGAUAAGACAUUGGUGCCUCUCAAUUACUAUAGAAGUUUAUGUACAUAUAAAAUAAGCUACUUAUUCUUAAUAGUAUUUUUUUUGAAAGCUAUGUAAUUUAACACAUUGUUUCACAAUUAAUCAUUAUUUCACAUGAUGACAUCCUAUCAAAUUUGUAUUUCUCUUAUUUAUUCUAAAUAAUGUACGUUUUGAUGUGGUCACCCAUAGGCAUAACAAUAUGAUCAUCGAGUAUUUACUUGUUGCACAACAUUGGACAAUAUUAAGCAUCCUUGGUCUCUAUUUUAAGUGAACUCCAUCUUAUUACUACUUGUAAUUGACGACCAUCUCUUCAAUAACUCCAUUUAUUUUAGUGGCAUUACCACUACAAAACUGUUAGGAACCUCCAAACACUAAACUAUCGCUGCUUCACUUGAGCCAUGACUAUAAUCAUACUAUAAAAUUGUAAAGUUUGUCUUGCUAUAUCAUUGAGUUUCAAUGAAAAUGACAUUAUUUGUCCUAUAUACUCUUGCAUGAUGUUAGUGUGGUUUAGUUAAUGCAACAUAUCUUGAAUUUCCCAAAUAUAAGUUAAAGAUUGAAAUCAUUAAUCAAGUUCUAUAGAGAAAUCUGUGUGAAAUAUAAUGAGGUUUGGGCAUCGAUACUCUACCUACAUUUUCUGCCAUAAUGACAUCUCAUACUAUGUGUAAUGGCCAUUGAUAGCUACCUCCCCCCUCUUAUGUCUAAUUUAUGUAGAAAUAUCAGUCAACAUCUUAUAAAAACGUUUAGAUUUUUUAAACAUCUAUACUACUUUGUAAGUCUUUAGUAUAAACUUUAACCCAUGGAGCACCUCUCCCUCCUGGUGCAUUAUUUUGUACAUGAUUUUUGUAUCACUUUCUCCAUGAGAUUAUCUACUACUUUAUAUAGACAUUUUUUGUUAUCAUCUUUUUUCUACAUAUUACUGUUUACAAUGGUUUUACAACUCAUCAUUAAUGGUUAAAACAAAAUCAGUCAAAUUUUCUUCCUGAUGAAUAAUUCACUGGCCAUUGGUUCCCCUCUCCUAAACCAUACUAUAUUAAUCUUUUAUAAGAUGAAAGAUAGAAAAUUAGUAGCAUAACAUUGGCAAUGAAAGUAUACUUUGUUACUACAUUGUCAUAUUGUUGUCUAUUCAAGUGUGUUUCAAGCUUGUGUCAGCUCAAAGUGGCAUAAUUUAGGUGCCUAACUUUUAUUAUACAUUAAAUUAGGCUUGAAAUUAUUAAAUUAAGUGAUAUAAGAUUAAUAAUGACCUCAUACAUGACGUGUCACAUGGUGUAGUUUUACUAUUUUGCGCAUGUCAUCUUACUGUACUAAUAUGUGGCCAUGGGGGUUGGCACUUCAUGGUGUUUGGGGAGGAAAACUAUUAGUUGUAAGUGAUUUUUAUUUUUAUUUUUUCGUGCCCUAUCUAGCUACAAUUUUAUGUUAACAUCUAUGGAACAUUUUUACAUAUCAAUCCUUGUGUAGUGAAUUUUUGGUCCCUAUGGUUUGAUGCAUUUUAAGUGUUAUGCCUGACAUAAUAUGAUUUUUUAUCAACUUCAUAAUUACUAAUAAAGAUAAAAAUUGAGGCUUAUCAACAAGUUUUAAGAAAGUAUUUUAGACAACCAAAAAUAUCAUGUUCACAAUAUAUAAUAUAUAAUACACAGUAAACACUUUUCGUACAUGAAAAUUGGAACAUAAGUUGUAUUUCAGAAGAUAAACAUCCUAUUUUAAGUAAUGCAUUUGAGAAAUUUCCUUACCAGGAUUAGAUAUUAAGAUUAUAUGUGCAUUUCGUGGGAGCUUGAGCCAGCGGGCACGUUUCUCGCGAGCUACUCACGAGCUUCUGCCACAACAUCACUUCCACGGCUCAGCCCCCCGCCGCAGCUUGAGCCGGCUCGAAGAAAUCUCCCACAGCGUGCAAUCGGCGGCGGGCGGCGGCGGCCGACUACCCCCGCACGAGGAUGUCGCGGUUUUAGCGCUGUCGGCGCCGAAGCGGAGGGAACCGUUGGAUGCUUUCGGGCCGACGAGGCCGCACGGUGACCGUUGGAUCAGGUGAGCCUCCGACGGGUGUAAGGCCGCGUCACAUGCCAGGCCACGCUGGACGGGAAGUCCCAUAAUGGCCGUUGGAUUGAAAACUUGACGGUGUAGAUGAAUACGGGGUAGCUCGGUGGUGACACCGGGCGUGAGCGGGGCUCGGGGUGGUCCUCUAUAUAAACCCCAAGGCUCUUACCCUUCCUGGUCAUCUUUAACCGGUUCUCUCUCUCUCUUCUCUCUCUGUCUCUCUCUCUCUCUGNNNNNNNNNNNNNNNNNNNNNNNNNNNNNNNNNNNNNNNNNNNNNNNNNNNNNNNNNNNNNNNNNNNNNNNNNNNNNNNNNNNNNNNNNNNNNNNNNNNNNNNNNNNNNNNNNNNNNNNNNNNNNNNNNNNNNNNNNNNNNNNNNNNNNNNNNNNNNNNNNNNNNNNNNNNNNNNNNNNNNNNNNNNNNNNNNNNNNNNNNNNNNNNNNNNNNNNNNNNNNNNNNNNNNNNNNNNNNNNNNNNNNNNNNNNNNNNNNNNNNNNNNNNNNNNNNNNNNNNNNNNNNNNNNNNNNNNNNNNNNNNNNNNNNNNNNNNNNNNNNNNNNNNNNNNNNNNNNNNNNNNNNNNNNNNNNNNNNNNNNNNNNNNNNNNNNNNNNNNNNNNNNNNNNNNGGUUCUCUCUCUCUCUUCUCUCUCUGUCUCUCUCUCUCUCUGUCUCUCUCUCUCUCUCUCUGUCUGUCUUUGUUUCCUUGGGGAGAUAACGGACAGGAAGCCGAGGCAGCUGUAGGAAGUGGAGCCGUGGAGGCAGGGGAUUCAAACGCCUAGGGUUUUUCGGCGGGAACGGGGCCGUGUCGAGAUUGAACGGGCAGGUAUCGCCCUUGCAUCCUUCUUCUUGUUUCUAUUAGUGCGCGUGCGCGUCUCUCCGCGGCGUCGUCUUCCCCUUUUAUUGGCGGUGAUGCAUUCUAUUUGCUUCGGGGUUGUGGUUACUGCGGAAAAUGUUGGAGCAUUUUUUUGCCCCUCAAGACUGUUGCGUCAAGCACUUUGUUUUAUUAUCAGCUGGGUCGAGAUCUUCUCUUCCUAUCUUUUGUAUUAAAAUUCCAGAGUUAAAAAAUUUUCUUUCCUUCUCAACACGGGCUUGAUGGAUAUCACCGAAAUGAUGAUGGCCUUUUCAUUAAUUUCGUCCUAUUUGGAAUUUCAGGCUAGGGUUCUCUUGGUGCUGACAAAGGGAGAAAUAUAGCCGUUUAGGGUUUGCGCCACUAACGUAGUGGGACGGAGAAGUCUGACUCUGAGGAACAGCUUCCAAAUACUGGAAUUUAAUCUAUUUUCCUUCCAGUGGAAAAUAAUAUCGUGGGUUGAAUUGGUCGGCGAAGUUUCUCUCUGGAAUAGGCUCCAAAUGCUGGAGAAAAAAUUGUCUGCUGUUGCUGUGAAGGUUGAAGACGAAAUCUGACUUUGUUGUGGAUCUGUGUACAGUGGUCAUCCCAAAUCCUAGUUUUUUUUUUCUAACGAAGGUAUUUGACAGCCAUUUUGGGGGAUGAAUAACCGGAUUAUGAUUGGCAUUUCCAAUCUUAAAGUGAGCAUAUGGCAUCCACUGUUGUCCUAGAGUACACUAAACGCAAGAGUCUUCGAAAUACAACUUUAGCAACUAUGGGAAAGGCACAAAGGUUCACAAAAGGUCUCUCUUCAGGCUUUAUCCCGGAUUAUCGACAUGCAGUGGAAACAGUCGGCGAGUCAGAUGGCUUUGUGAACUCAGGUCACAUCGACUCGGAGGACUCAUCUGCCCCCAAAAGAAAAUGCAUCAGCUUAAAUACUGAAGGGUCUGAUUGCUUCAAUGUACCCGUGCAAACUUUUUCAGUUUCACUGAUGUCAAGUUUGGAAAAAAAGCAAUUGGAACAUAGGCUACGAGAGGAACUUGAACAAAUUCAAUUACUUCAGAAAAAAGUCCUUUCCAGGGCCGUUAAUGGUGUUGCUGUUUCUUCAACAACUGAUGCUUCUGGGAAGAAGCGUCCUGCUGUAGGCCGUACCGCUCCUCAGAUAAAACGCGGACAUUCAGGGCGAUUUGAGCCUGUGAAAAGCGUUCCACAACUUUCCUUGCCCAAGAGCAUCAAUGCAGCACUGAUUAAACAGUGUGAGCAGCUUCUCAAUCGUUUGUUGCAGCAUCCCUAUGCUUGGGUCUUCAAACAACCAGUUGAUGCAGUAAAGUUGAACAUUCCAGACUAUUACACUGUUAUUAAGCACCCAAUGGAUUUGGGAACUAUAAAAACUAAAUUAACUUCAGGCACGUACGCCAGUCCUUUGGGAUUUGCGUCAGAUGUUAGGCUUACUUUUUCCAAUGCAAAGACAUAUAAUCCGCCUGGGAAUGAUGUCCACAUAAUGGCAGAAGCGAUGAGCAAUCUCUUUGAGUCAAAAUGGAAAUCCAUUGAAAAGAAGGUUCCUACAGUUGAUUCCCAUGCUGCAAGAGAAUCUGAAGCUGUAAAACCUCCAGAUAUGAAGAAAAGAAAAGCUCCAUCAGUUAACCAAGCUUCUACAAUACAAGCUGGUGCAAAGAGUUUGAAAAAUGAGGUGGAAAAUUUGAAGGAAAGAGUGACCGGUGAGGAGAAGCAGAAGCUAAGCAGUCGCUUAGAAUCCUUGAUUCCUGUGUUACCAGACCAGAUUAUUGAAUUCCUGAAGAAAAAUAGUGGUAAUCAGAGCCAAACCACUGAUGAUGAAAUAGAGAUUGAUAUUGAUGCUCUUGAUGAUACUACAUUUCUUGAACUACGAAAGCUUUUAGAUGAUUUCUGCUCUGGGAGGGAGCUGAAGCAUGAGAUGAAAGCUGAUCUUGGUGAAAUAGAGGUACGCACUUGAUAGCUAUUCAUUCCAGUCAGCUGUAGUUUCUGUUGCUCGCCAAUGUCAUAAAGUAAGAGUUUUUUUGUGAUCAUGUAAUUUUUAUUUUGGUGCAGGUAUUUAACGAAUCUGGCGUCAGCAAUUCAUCAAUGCAGCUCCACAAAGGUUGGUCUCCUUAUUUCCUGAUUAGUUUGUUGUAUUAUACAUUAUUCUUUUAUGAAAAAAAUUAAUUAUUAAUUAUUUAUCUUCAGGCAAUGAGCAUCCGAUGGAUGAGGAAGUAGAUAUUGUGGGCAGCGAUCAUCCCAUGUCAAGCUACCCUCCAGUGGAAAUAGAGAAGGAUACAACUUUGAGAAAUAGCAAAUAUAGUAGUUCUAGCAGUUCGACUAGUGAGACAGGUUCUUCAUCUAGUGGUGAGUGGUCAUUUAGCUGAACUCGUUUUUCCAUUUAAUGCGCCGUUGCUCUUUUCUCUAUUAUCCCGACCUGUUUCCUUCGUUACUAUGGAUAGAUAUAGCGAGGUGAUUAUAAAGUUCCAUCUUUAUAAGAAAGUGACUAAUGCCAUGGAUCAUCAUACGAAAUGAACUGUGGGACAGGGUAAAUGUGCAACGGUAGAAAAAAUUCCCGUGAUUAGUGUCUUGAAAGGACAUGCGGUUAUAGAGAGGAAUCCCGUUUGCAACAUAUAGUUAUAGGUGCAUCUCCCCGUAAAGAUCCCUGUGAUAUAUAUCCUGGAGGGCGAGAUGCACAAGAAAAGGAAUCCCUUAUCAAAAGUAUGGGAAGCUGAGUCUCUCUCCCUAGUAAUGUUCGACUAGUAAUCUUCCAUCGUAAGGUUUUCCCUUGUGUGGAAGCUGAGUCUCUCUCUUUCCAAGCCAGAUUCUCUUAUUGUGAUGUCUCAUAAUUUGUGCGCACUCCAACAAGUCCUUUGCAACACGAGAAUAUUAUUUUUAUGAUAAAUUAAGGAAAACCUGAAUAUUUGUUUAUCUUUGGAUGACUUGCAUCCACUGAUCUGUUUCUAUCUCGAUAACCCACGUCUUCACAUCUCACGUGUUGCUUUACAUGAAUGUCUUCAAUGGAUCUUAGUAUGGACUGCCGGAGCUGAGCUUACAAUGGAAGUCUCUAUUGAUCUUAUUACAGGGCAGUGGAAUGUCCGUGGGGCUAUUUUCAUUUUAUCUGCUGAUAAUCCUCUCAUUAUAGGAUGGAAGCAACAUCAGUUCAAGGUGUCUUCGUUGGAAGCUACUUUGCAUUGUGUCCAACGUCUACUCUGCUUUUUUGAAAUAAAGGAAGAGAAUGAUAAAAGAUUAGUGGAUUGACAGGUUAACUCAUUUAUGCGGGGAACAAAUGCCCGAAAGAAAUUAUUCAUUCCUCCUCCCAACCGCUGAAAAAUAUGAGGCCAUGGCUCCAAAUCAGUGUACCCAACUCUUUAAACUAGAUAGAAGAUACCAAGAGAGGAUGGUGCCAAGAGCAGUUCUCCGAAAUUCACCUUCACAGAAAAAGCAAAAAGUUCCCCUAGCAUUUCCAGCACUGUGUAUUCCAUCUCAAAGUUCACAAUAGAAUUCUUAAAAAUAGGUUUUUGGCCUCAUUAUGGAAACCGAAUGGAUAUAUUUCGAUGCAUCUAAUUUAAGUUGCAAGAGUUGACAUCUAAGUGGAAUGCGUGAAAUCUUUUGAUCAAUGCCACAGUUUUUGUGCUGUUUCACGCAUGUUGAGAAGUAUGUGCCUCUGAAAUUAAGGGGAGAUGGAAGGGUCCCCUGUUUAAGAGAUCUAUGUCUUUGAGAUGACCCUUGGAUGACUACUGAUAAUGAUUUUGAUCUUGCAUUUUAGUUGAAGUAUCCCACCUCUGUGUAGAAUUCAUUUAAUUUAAGCUAAGAAUUAUUAUUGCUAAAUUGUUAUUCCCAGUGCUUGCCUUUUGAAGGUUGAUCUUGCCUUUUUGUUGUGUGUUUUUGGAUUUUUUUUUUCUUAUUAGAAACGCUUCCUAACAAAGUUCCUCUUUGUUUCGUGUGUUCAAUUUUCAAUGAAAAAAAGUCAGAAUGAUGAAAAAGAAUGGUGCAUCUAUUCCUUUUGAAAUUGUCUCCCUGUUCUAGGAUACUUCUGAUAAACUUACGUGCUGUUGGCGGAGAAAGCACCAGCAUGAUGAAGAACCAUGAUGAAAAAUAAUGUCGGAUUUUUUCUUUGCCACCUUUAUAUCCCGAAACACCAUGAUAAAAAAUUAAGAUCAGAAGCAUCAUAUAUAAUCAUGUUGAGUAUGUUCAUUGAGAUAAACUGGAACAAGAAAGAUAAUGGUGUAUGUACUACCGCUAUUGUUUGGCUAUAAUUGUAAGUACUGUCAGCAUUCUAUGGUUUGUCUUAUUCAACUCGAUAAUAAAAAAAUCAGUCUAACGUCAGUUAGAUAUAUUAAGUUAGAAGACUCCAGAUGAUUCAAAUGGAGGAAAUAAUUGUUCCAGAAUUUUUUAUUUUUCAUGUUUCAAUUUUUCUAGUUUAGCUGAUUGUCUCGUCCAUCAAUGAUUUAUUGAAAUGACGGGAGGAAAUGAAAUAAAAUAUUGAGUUUGGUUGGGUCAGGAGAAUUACGUGAAAUAAAUCUAUUAGAAGAUUGACGGAGUGAGUAUUAAUCCGUGAUUAAGUUGGUACAUUUGACUUCGGGCGGCUUGUUAAUAGAUUCAAUCAUCAAUUUUGUGACAGUUUGCAAACAAUCAAUGGAGUUUCUAAAGGGAGUCAGAUAGGUGUAAUGAAGGAAGCUAUGAAUUUAUAGAGAUUCUAUUGAGUAAUAUCUGGUUGAUUCUUACUUCUUUUCCUGAGACAUGGACAAGCUAAUCCUUAACCUUCGUCAAGGACUCCUCUCUCUUUUGAAGUUAGAAGAUCACGUCUCCUUAGAGAAUGUGUAGCGACACAGUCCAAUUACGAGAGAGGAAUUUCUUAUGAAAAAUAAAAUAUUGGGAAGACAUUCAGGGCGAUUCUAGUGAGAACCAUGAAAUAUAUUGGAAAGUUUAUAGUUCUUACUGAAAUAUGUGGCUUAAUUUUCUCAAAUUUUCAUGUAACCUACUUCCCAAUGCUGAAGAGUUCUCAUGGUUCUUGUCAUGCCGUCUAGGCCUCAGUGAAUUUGGUCAAAGUUCUAUUCAACACAUUAUUGUUGGUGAAAUGAACUUUGUAUGAUGUGACCAUUUCUGUCCCUACGACUGCUGGAGUUUGACUUUACUUCAUUUCUGCUAAAAUUGUUUAAUUUCUUUCUUCUUGUUUGAUAUCUAAUGGCCUACACAUAGCCGUCUAAAUUAUUAGGUUGAUUCCACACCAAACACCACAGAGAAAACCACCGGCAUCCCCCUUAAUUUUGAAUUUCUCUUUUUUUCCUUCAGCAUGUUAUUUAAAAUAUGGUUUUAGUCAGCAGCCCUUUUGUCUCAUUUAUCAUAAUUGUUCGACAUUUCACAGCUUUCUUCCUCGUGCAUUUUAAAUCUAGUUUUAAUAGAUUAUUCCUUCGGAGGUGAAUCUCCCAUCUUCAUUCGAGCCACCUAACUUGGCAUAAAUUAACGCAUGCUGAACCGCUGGCUCAUCUAUUUCCUAGGUGGUAUCGAAGAUUUUUUUUUUUACUCGAAAUUCUAUUCUUCAUGAACUCCUGGUCAUCCUUCCUUCCCUGGGUCUGGCAGACGAACUUUAAGCCAUCCCUGGAUUCUGUUUGUGUUUGUGUGACUUUGCUUGGCUUCUCUAGUCUGUCUCUGUAGAGGCCAGCACCGAGGUGUGCUACUGCUAGAUCCAUUUACGGAUUGACUCAGAUCUUCUUCGUAGAACGAUGACCGGAAAGGAUGAAUUGUGGUAUUCGGAGGGCGCAAGGGGAACAAUGAUUAAAAAAUUAGCUCCUUGUAGAUUUUCGUGGGUCUUCUACAUUCGUGAAUUUAAUGUAUUUAUUCGCACCUUCAAUAAUCUCCCAAUUUUGACAGACUCGGAUUCGGCGAGUUCGUCCGGAAGUGAAUCACUCGCAGCGAAGGGCCCCUUGCCCACGAACAAUAGCGUGAAGGUUUGAAUGCUUCCCACUCCUUUCCAUGCCUGUUGCAUCCGAUUCUGUCAUGGGAGAGGAAAUGAGAUGAUGCCUUCGCCCUUCUUGCAGGACACCGCGAUGUCCGCCGCCGCUUCUGAGCAUGAGAUGGCGAACCAGAUCGAUGGAAAUCGUAAGCUGCGCUUCUCCUGAACGCCUUCCUUCUGUGCUCAGUUUUGUGGAGUGCUGUUCUUGCCUCCCGGAUGCUUCAAUUUCUGACUUCCUUUCAUCUAUUGGAUUAAAUCUAGGUUAUGCCAGUGGGGGCUCGGAACAGCCCGAGCAGAGGGGCGAACCCAGUGCCGCAUCUGCCGAAGCAGAUGAUCGCCAUGAGGGUAAGCAUGGAUUACUCAUGGAAAGAGAGAGAGAGAGCGAGAGAUAGAGAAGAGAGAGAGAGGGAGAGGAGGGGGGGGAGAGAGAGAGAGAGAGAGAGAGAGAGCUGUAGAAGACGUAGGUNNNNNNNNNNNNNNNNNNNNGGGGGAGGAGAGAGAGAGAGAGAGAGAGAGAGCUGUGAAAGACGUAUGGGGGGUUGAGAAUUUGAUCAGGCACUUAGCCUUGUCUUUUCCCUAUGAAACUUUUAGGGGGCCAUGCUCCAUCUGAGAGGCAGGUCUCCCCAGAAAAGCUCUACCGUGCUGCCUUACUGAGGAGUCGCUUUGCGGAUACCAUACUCAAGGCACGCGAGAAGACCCUCGACAAGGUUUGGUCACUCGGAAGCCUCCAUCACGAGUACCAUUUUUGUAUGAGCCUCGGAGGUUUUGUGGCGUCUGACUGUGGUGUGAUGUUGCCCAGGUUGAUAAGGGGGACCCCGAGAAGCUUCGACGAGAGCGGAAGGAGCUUGAGAGGCAGCAGCAGGAAGGUCUGGCUGCCGCCGCUCCAGUGGAUGAGCGCUGCUUCCGCUCUCAGGAUGGAUGCUGAUUUUUUUCUGGCCUGUGCAGAGAGGGCCCGGUUGCAGGCGGAAGCCAGAGCCGCCGAGGACUUGCGGCUGCAGGUGGAGGCCAGAGCCGCUGCCGAGGCCAAGAGGAAGCGGGAACUCGAGCGAGAGGCGGCGCGGCAGGCCCUUCUGAAGGUGCGGCCUCCGGUUGCCGGCGGCAAUGCCGAUGCUUGGUGGUGGUGGUGGUGGUGGUUCACCCUGGCUGACCGAUGAUGAUGAGCUUGUUUUGCCAGAUGGAGAAGACGGUGGAGAUUGGCGAGAACAGCCGGUUCCUCAAGGACCUGGAGAUGCUCGGCGCCGACCAUAACCUGCCGAGUUCCAUGGACGAGACCAGCCCGGAGCUCCCCCAGGACGGGUUCAAGUUCAUCGGCAGCAAUCGGCUGGAGCAGCUCGGGCUGUACAUGAAGGCGGACGAGGAGGAAGACGAGGUUGAGCCCGCCGCCGGCCAUGGCGGUGCUAACGACGUCGAGGAGGGGGAGAUCGACUGACCGCAGCGGUGUGGAGGCGUCCCCUUUUUCCGAGCCCCGGCGCGGCGGCGCAUCUUCCGCCUGAAGUUUUGUGCAACCUGGACAGCUCCUGCGGGGCCCCGGAGGGCUCCGAUGACUGCGGCCAUAUACGGGAACUGUACAGAGCGAGGCCAUUCGGAGGGAGCUGCCGGGGCUGUGUGGUCCCAUUCUUUCUGCUACACCGUCGUGCCACAUUAAACACACGCGUCUUAAAUUGUCAUUCAAGUCGGAAAUUAGAACAAUACCACAUGCCGCCUUACGUUCCUUCAACGGAACCCACUCCACCUUCCCUGUCAAUCGCCGUCGCCACCGGCGUCGCCACCUUCCCCGUCAGUCGCCGGGAACCCACACAAUUCCCGGGGGGCAGCAGGAGAGCGCUGCGGGCAUGGCGGAGGCGGAGAUGUGGAGGUGGGCGGCGCUGGCGACGGCCGUGCUGAUCCAGGCGGCGGCGGGGACAAACUUCAACUUCCCGGCGUACUCGACGAGUUUGAAGGCCGCGCUGGGGGCGUCUCAGGUGGGGCUCAACGGGCUUGCCCUGGCCUCCGAUCUCGGCAAGGCCCUCGGCUGGUCCGCCGGCCUGGCCGCUCUAUGCCUCCCCCUCUCCGCCGUCGUCGCCGCCGCGGCGGGAAUGGGCCUCGUCGGGUACGGCCUGCAGUGGCUCCUCGUCGCCCGUCGCCUCCCUAUCCAAUACGCCUCGGUAAGCCCCCUCCGUGAGCCACGGUCCUGGACGGCAAUGGCGGUGGGCGCUGGCCCACCGUCUUCCUCUUCUCCGGUUCCCCUUCGCAGGGCGGAAGGGUCUUAAAUCCCGAGAUGUCGUUCACAGGUGUUCGUUCUCUGUUUGGUGGCGGGCUGCAGCAUCUGUUGGUUCAACACCGUCUGCUUCGCCCUCUGCACCCGCGCCUUCCCCUCUCCCCGCCGCCGCUCCCUCGCCCUCUCCCUCUCCGUCAGCUUCAAUGGGGCCAGCGCCGCUUUCUACGAACUCCUCGCCACGGUCCUCCCUGGCCACCACCCCCCCGGGUCUUCCUACCUCCUCCUCAGCGCCACCAUCCCCCUCCUCGCAUCCGCCAUCGCCAUUCCCCCCGCCCUCCGCUUCUCAUCCCCGAUGGCCGGAGCAGACGACCACAGUUGCGACGAGGACGAAUCUGAGGACGGUGUCUUCCUCCUCCUCCUUGGGUUCGCCGUCCUCGUGGGAGUUUACCUCCUCGUCCUCGCCCCCUCCGGCACCGCUCCCGCAACCUGCUUCCUCCUCGCCGGCGGCUCCCUUCUCCUCCUUCCUCUCCUCUGCGUCUGGCGUCGGGGUGGGCGCACCCGGAACUGUCCCGAGGACCUGGAGAUCCUCCGCGAGCUGCUCCCUGCCAAAGUAGAGGGAUCCCCGAGAGGGAGGCACGGGUUUACCGACGGCUGCGGCGGCGGCUUUGGAGGACGACGGUGGCUGGGGAGGGAUCGGAUGUCCGUGAUGGGAGAGGAGCACGGGCCCCGGCGGCUGGUGAGCCGGGUGGACUUUUGGAUCUACUACCUCGCCUACCUUUGCGGGGGCACGGUGGGGCUGGUCUACAGCAACAAUCUUGGGCAGAUCGGUGAGAGCCUGGGGAGGGGCGAGGAGGGGACGGCGGCGCUGGUGGGUAUCUACUCUUCCUGUUCCUUCUACGGCCGCCUCCUCGCCUCUUUUCCCGACCUCCUCGCUGGUGAGUUCCCCUGCCGGACGCCACCCAAUAUUACAGCAGGCGGCGCGGGCCGUAAUGUGGCGACGAUUGUGGCAGGAAGAAGGAAUGGGAUCGCGAGAACAGGGUGGCUGGCGGCGGGGCUGGUCCCGAUGCCCGCCGCUUUCUUCCUUCUCGCCGGGUGGGGAAACUGCGGCAGCGUGCUGCCGUUCUGCACCGCGGCGGUCGGCCUCAGCUCGGGUUUCGUCUUCGCGGCGGCGGUGGCGGUGACGGCGGAGCUCUUCGGCGCCGAGAGCGUCGGCGUGAACCACAACAUCGUCGUCACCAACAUUCCCCUCGGCUCCCUCAUCUACGGGCUCCUCGCGGCGCUCUUCUAUGACGCCGGCCCCGGCGGCGCGGGGUGCAGGGGGUGGCGCUGCUACGCGGCGACGUUCUGGUUGUGGGGAUGCAUCACGGCGGUGGGCGUGGGCUUCAGUUCAGCCCUCUUCCUGCGGACCCGGCUGGCUUAUGCAACCCCCUUCCCGCCGCCGCUGCAGGAAGGGAUAGCCCUCCUCACGUCGAACAAGGAGAAGGGACGACCGCUGCACCGCCUCCAAUGUUCAUGAUUUGGAUCUCUCUCUUUCUCUCUGCGCAUCUCUCCGAUGUCCUUUGCGCGGCGGAAGGAAGUACAAUUGAAGAAGCCUUAACGGGGUCUCUCUCUCUCUCUAUCUCUAUCAAUAUCUAAAUUUGCUGUCUUUUCAAAGCCACGCGCCUUUGAACCAUAGAUAACGACGCCUGACGUCAAAUAGCGUAAACCUGACGUCAGUUUUAAGCCGAGUCAAAUUCUCCAGAUCCCCCCCAUUCGUCCGAAAGAUCUCUUCGAUCACAUCUUGUGGCCCUCCCUUCAGCGAAUAGCCAGCACUCCAUUUCAUCAUCCCCAGGUAAGGAGCUUCCUCCAACAUCUCUCUCUCCAGAACUCCGGCGAUGAUGAUAAGUUCUUUCCUAUGGUGGCUCCCGGUGGCGGUGGUCAUCACCAUGGCCUUGAGAACAAAGGUCUUCCGUUCGCUGCCGUUCACGCGAAGCCCCGAUUGGUGGAGAACAAAUACUACGAAGACGAUUUAAACAAAUUGGAUGAAUUGGUUCAUGCGUAACUGAUACUCGGCAAUAUAUGCGCAAAUGUAAUGCCACUAUGCUAUUCAAGAACCUUCCGCGAUUAGGACCUUCUGUAAAUAGAAACCUCUCAAUCGGCCUAUAAAUGCAUAACUACCACAGAUUGUGAAGUUAAGCGUUGGACAAUUCUUCUAUACAAUAAAAUUCUUUCUCUUCCCUUAUGUUGUGUUGCCUUCUCUAGUUUAUUCUCGAGUUCUUUACAAAUACUAUGAUGACAUCGGCUUCCCGUGAGGCCACAUAGGUUGUCGAUGAGGUGGGGAAACCCGUCCUUCCCCCAUGAAACCUACGUCCACUACUAGAUGGUGAUGAGGUUCUACCAGCCAAAGUGCAGUAGUGCCGCUGGCCCACCAUGGGAGCCUCUUGAGUUCUUCCUUCCCAUAAACACUGCCCCUUUGAACAAUACCCCUGAAUACAUUAUUGUUGGCAAUGUGGGCACCUGCAAUAAGAUUCUUUGGCAGACCUUCAGCCUCAGGUGGGAGACUCGCCCGAUUGUCACUUGGGUCCUUGAACUGUAAGAGAUAUAGAUAGGUUGGGAACCCAAGAGAGCUCCCUGGUGGGUAUGAGGAGAAGUGGAUGCUGAGCCUCCACACGAUCAAGACUUCAUCCCAAAUAAGAUCUGAAAUGGGUAGAGGUUGUAACAGCCCCACAUGUUUAAGACAUUCAGUCUUAUCUUUUUGACAUCUGAUGCAAACUGAUACAUAUGUUCAAAUUUGGUUUUCAUUCUUGUCCACCAAAGAUGCUAUUUGAUCUUGUAGUAAGUGUGGGCAAAUCUUGAAUGUCCCCCCAAAAACAAAAUCAUGAAAUUCAUGUAAAAUGUCUAGACUAAGAUAAAGUUUUUGGGUAAUAUUAUACUUCAUCCAUGUUAUAAAUAACUUUGAUUCAUUGAAUAUGCUGCCCAUUUGUUUGGAUUGUUGUAACUCCCUAUCAUAAUGACAUAUAUAUCUGGAUCUUGCUAAUUUUCUUUGGUAAUAAUCUUUAUAUCAAUGAGUUCUAGUCGUGAUACUUGCAUAACUUGUAUUGUUGGUAGACUUGUAUGACGAGAUAGGUCAUCCUCUACUUGAUUCUCUCUUCUCGCUUUAAAUCUAAUUUCUAAAUUAUGAUAAAGAAUUUUCGCUAACCAUUUCUAAUAACUUAGUAAUAUUUUCUGCUGCUCUAUAGUAAACUUUAGUCUCCUUUUGUCAGUGUAUAUCAUGAAUUUUUGUGCCAACAAAUACUAUUUCCACUUCAAAAUUGCCAGAACCACUGUCAUCAAUUCUUUUACAUAUACUAAUUUGUAUCUUUGUAUGGAUGAAAAAGAAUGAUUGAAAUAAGACAUGAACUUUACAUUGGAACUAUGGCCACACCCUUGCUAGAGACAUCUACCUCAGAUUCAAAGGGUAAUUUGAAAUUAGGUAGUGCAAGUACUAGUGCGAUGUGAGAGCCUCUUUUAAUUGCACAAAUAUGUAGUCAGUCUACUCGUUCCAAUUAAAUACAUCUCAUUUAGGGAAUUAUACUAGGAGCCAUAUGAUGCAAUCAUAAUUUUUUAUGAAGUGCUUAUAACGUCCACUCAAUCUCAAGAAGCUGUAAAGUUACUUCAAAUUGGAUUAGGCCAUUAUUGAAUGACUGAUUUUUUCAACAUUUACAAUCACUUUGUCAUGAUAUCCAAUACCCUAAAUAUGUGACUUUUUCUUAUCCAAAGUAGUAUUGGGAUUUCUUGGGGUGUAUGUAAAGUUGAUUGAAAGUUAAAAUUUAGAAAAGUGAUGGAGAUGUUGACAAUACUUCUCCUUGUCUGCACUUUAAAUGAGUAAAAACUUGCAUAUAAACUCAUCAAAUAAUCAGUUCAUUAAUACUUGGAAGAUUAAUGGCAUGUUCCAUAGCUCAAAGGGCAUUACCAAAAACUCAUAGUGGCUGUGAUGCAUUUGACAUUCUAAUUUAUGAAUAUUAUUCUUAGGAGAAUUUGGUGAUAGCUCGGCCGUAAAUCAAACUUAAAAAACAUAGUAACUCCAUGUAAUUUAUUGAAUAGUUUCUCUAUGACCAGCAUUUGAAAUUCAUGGAAAAUCAUUGUAAGAUUCAGCAUGUGAUAAUGUAUGCAAAAUUACAAUUCACUUGAUUUCUUUUUGACCAUAAGAGCUAGGCUCAAAAAAGGUGAUGUUUAAGUGAUAGAUGAUACCUAAUUCUAGCAUAUUUUUGACCAAUUUUUUGAUCUCUAUUUUCUAAAAAUAAGGAUAUCAAAAAUAGUAAUUUUUGAUGAAUUGGGAUUUCAUCUUUGAAAGGUAUUUUUUGAUCAAUAUCCUUUUAUAGAAGACAAGAAGAUGGUGGCUGAAAUGGUUGUGGAAAUUAAUGUUAUAAGUUGGUUAUCCAUGUCAAUUGUGAUAGCUACUUCAUGCUUUCAUCUAGUUAAUACAAUUUGAUCAAUACUUGCUAACUCUUGGAGAUCUUUGUAAGAGAUCACAAUGAAAUUCCUCUAAUUUCAUCUGGCUUCGUUACCUACAUGGUGACAAGUCCAUUGGUAGAUGGAAAAGAUCAUAAUCAGGUCUUGAAAUUAAUAUUCACUCUCCUUUGAUCUUCUAGUUAUUCUAACCCCAAAAUAAUGUCAAAGAAAAUAGGGGUAGGAGUAGAAUUUUUCACAUGUGACAGUUUUCAAGAUCUAGGGUGAGCUGUUGGCAUAGCUUUGAACUUUUGACUAGUUCACUUGUCCUUAUUGUAACCAAAUAAUCUAAGGUCAUUAGGACAUGUAAUUGUAAGGAUUUUACUCACAAAAUUAUGUGAUGCCUCUGUUCUAUCAACACUUAUAUCAAUUGAUUAUUAAGUGUCAUUGAAAUUUUAAAGAGUACUUUGGUAGUUUUUGCAUAAGAAAAUUUAAAGAAAUUUUUAGAGCUGUAAUAUCUUCACUAGGUUAAUCAAGGAUCUAGUCGUCUGUGGAUAGGUAGUUUUCAUCCUCUAUCACUGACAUAUUAAUCUCUUUAUGAUAGUUGUGUCCUUGGCCAUAUUUUUCAUUACAAUAGUAAUAGAGUCCCUAACUUUGAAUUCCCAUGAUUGAUAAGUUUAGUUUUCUUUUCUUACAUUGUGGUCUAAUAUUUAAUGUUUCUAUUGACAUUCACACAAUUGUAUUUGAUCUCUAAAAUGAUGUAUUGUGUGAUCAAAUAUUCUAUAUUGAUGAGGUUUUUUUGAAAAAGUUUCUAUUUGUUCUCUCCCAUCAACUUCAGCUUCAUCAAAUUCUCUAAUUUGAUUGAUCUUGAGUUCUACAUCUUUGGUGAUUCGCAUGAUGAAGGUCAGUCCUUUAGAAUCAAAUAAAUUUAAUUUUGCUUGAAUGUCUAGGUGUAAGCCUUUUUAAAAAGUAGACUCUAAAAUAUUCUUAGGAAAUGUCUCUUGUUGUUUCUUCCAUGUCUUCAAAUUUAUUAUGAUACUUAUCAACUAAUCUGAUUUGUUUCAUUUCUAAGAAUUGUUUCCCCAAUGAAUAAUGUUUAGCAUUAUAUAAAUAGUCUUGUGUUGUAUAUCGUAAAUCAUUUCAAUUUUUGAAAGAAAAAUUUCAAUCUUCUUAUAUAAAUCACUUAAGGACUCUACCUUUAAAGCUUAAUCCAGCUGUCUAAUAUUUCUUGUCUUCAAACAUUGAAAAUAUUGAAAAAUAGAGUUUUUCUUGGCAGACCCAUCUCUCUAGAUCUUCACCAUUGAAAAUUAGGAUAUCAAUUUUCUUUCCUCCACACUUUCCAUUGAGAUUUGGCCCUUGGUUGUGCAUUGUCGUUGUUAGCUAUAGAUUUUUCUUCUACAACCCUCUAAUUCCUUAUUAUAUUUAACAAUUUUUGAUUUCAUCUUUAGUUGAGAUUCUUCGAAGAAAUUCAAAUCACUAGAGUGCAAAGGUAAUAUUAUUUGAUUUUGAGCAUCUCGCUUGUGUUAGUUGAUAAGGUAGCUAUUUGUUGUAAAAAAUCCUACUAAAUUUUAUUAAGUUUUCAUUCGAAACAACCUAAGUAGGGCUCACUUGAUUUAUUAGGCAUAAGUGGCUUUGACAUCACUUCAGAAGAUUUGUGAUCGAGGCGAGCAAUAAUAGUGAGAAUUAUUGUAAUUUUUUUUGAAUUCUUCUCUUAUUUUGAAAAGAAGGUAUAGAAAAAGAGAGUAAAACAAGGGGAGGGUUAGCCACUUUGAGAUGGUUAGUGGCUUGUUCUCUUAAUAAUCCCCUCUUCCUCAACAAUUCAUUUAUUUAUUAUAUUCAGAUUUUUUCCAGAAUUCUCUCCAAUCAAUUGUUAUUAUGGUUUGCUUUUCUUAUUGAAGGAAUGUUUAUGCUCAUUGUAUCUCUUUAUCAUCUUGGGCUUGUCCCUCUAUAGUAUCUCUUUCUCAUUCCUCUAAGAUCUCUACUUCCUUACACUUCUCUUUUUUUAUGGAUGAUGAAAUAAUAUAAGGAGUCCAUCAUACUAUCAAAAGAUGAGUUAUAUGAUUGCUAGAUAAACCUCCAUCAUCUAUUAUCCAUAUUUUAAUGAGUCUCCAUCCCUAAUGAUCCUCCCCAACUUAUCUCUUACUCCAUGUGGAGUACCAUGUCACACUCUAUUGUUAAGAGGUUGUAGUGGCCAGAAGUACCUACAUCAACAGUAAGAGGACAGUUAUGUCUUACAAAGGCAACAUAGUUAAUAUCAUUGCUCACUAGUACUUAGGUGGAGUUGACACUACCCUCUACGGCCAAGUGACCCACGUCAAAAGAUUAUUGAUACUAAUUUUCUCAAUGUUAUCAACUAAUUGUCACUACCAUUGAAAUAAAUCCAAGAUGGGUGGAUGUUGUGCUACGUUGUCGAAAUGACAACAUACUAUCCAAGCCCAAGCUCAGUGAAGGUGAUUACUAAGGAGAGGGAGAAUUGUCUCCAAUUAUAGAGCCACCAAGUUGCACACGAGGGUCAUGAGCUUCUUCUACACCCUAAUAGCCAACCUACCGAGAGCACAAUUCAUUUGAUCAUAAGAAUUCCCUCAUUCCUUAGAUGUGGCAAAUCUUUCAAGCCAUAUGCACCAAACAUGAUGAUGGCCUUACAAUUGAACACGAUAUAGGCCAACAUAAGGAAGUAGACUUAGAAGUCCUCUAUUGAUCAUAAAGUCACUAGACCUGCCCAAAAUUAGAAGGCUUUGCUUACUAUUAAUGGGCCUUCUUUUUAUUAGGCCCCCUAUUCUUCUUGUUCCCUUGCUUAUAUAAGACAUGAACCCCCAAUGUUGUGUGGCAAAGUAUUUAAAUUAAAAUCAUGUCUCUUUGCUUGUGUGGUGUACAUGUGUAGCUUAGCUGUGAGAAUUGUCAUGUGGCUUCCCUUUGAUUGUUGAAGAGUGCUUGUGUAACUUCCCAAAAGAUUUUGUCCUCAGUCGGGUUAGUUGGAGGAACUUGUUACUCAUAGUUAAAAAUUAUACUAAUAUCAUUGCCUCUACCAUUGCCUAUCAUCAUUCUCUCCCAUUCUCACUACUACCACUGGCAUCUAUUACCACAAAUCUACCAUUAUCACCACUAUUGUUCGUUGCCAAUUCCAUCAGCUCAUCGUCAUCAUUCAUUGUCACCUUGCCCUACUACUACCUUUGCUACCUUCAUUGCCACCAUCGCUACCACCCUCACCUACUAUUGCCACCAUCAAUUGUUGUCACCUUCCACUUCCAUCUACCUUAGUCGACAUCCCUCCAUAGAUAUCAACUAUCACCCCCACUCUUCCGCCACUGGCUGCCACCUUUGAUGCCCCUCCAUUAGCAUUUGCCAUCAACACCCAUCAACCACCUACUGCCACUAUAACCAUAACUGCUUGUUUGGUCUGCUACUAUUGGGUGUGUAUUUCCUUAUUCGAGUCAUCAAGUGACUUGGUUUGCACCCUUGGUCUUCAUCAUCUCCUUGAGCCAAGGCGCCAUGUGUCAUCCAUAGGGAUUAGCGGUCAUUGUCUCAAUCAAAUUUUAGCUGUGACCUAAACUUAGACUGAAGUUUGAUUUGGUCAUAGUUUGGUCAAGAAUUGAAAAACCUUGACUUAAUUUAUGACCUAUCAAAAUUUAAGUAUAUAUAUAUUUAAUUAGAUAUAAUUUUUUAUAUUUAAAAAUAUAAAAAAAUCAAAUAACUAACAUGUGGGAGGAGCCUAUGGUGGGGGAAGAUCCUACGGUGGGAGGAGUUGACAGCAACAAAAGAGAAGUCUACAAUAGUGGUGGAGGAACUUGUGGUGACAUAAGAUGCAUAAUAUGGCUGUGGCAUAAAAGAAGUGUGCAAUGGUGGUAGAGGAGCCUAUGGUGGCGGAAGAGGAUGCACGACGAGGGAAGAUCCUACACUGAUAGUGAAAUAGAAGCAUGCAAUGAUAGUGGAGGUGCUUGUGGUGGGGGAUGAGGACCCACAAUGAGGGCGGAUCAUGUGCUGGUGGUGAAAGAAGUGCGGUGGUGACAAAAUAGAAGCCCAUGGCAGUGGAAGAGGAAAUAUGGUAAGGGAGGAUCGUGCAUCAAUAAUGAAAGAGAAGCAUGAGGUAGCAGUGGAGUAGAAACUUCUGGUGAUAAAAGAGGAUGUAUAGUGAAAGAGGAUCCUACAUCGACAGUGAAAGAGAAACAUGUGGCAGUGACAGAAUAGAAGCUUGCAAUAAUAGGAGAAAACCUCAUUAACAAGGGUGAAGAGAAAGAGGGAGAGAGGGGGUUUAGGUCUCUCACUCACAAUUGUUAGAUCAUUAGGUCCUUUGGUCAUAAGUCUUUCAACUAUGAAAAAGUGUGACCAAAUUGAAAUGACAAUCAUAGCUUUCCCACCUAAUUGUCAAUCUCAAUUUUAGUCUAGUCAACUAAACUUACAUCAUGAUUGCUAAUCCCUAGCCACUCACAACCCAAUAAGUAGUCUAUGUCAAGACAAUGGUCAACAUAAUAGUCAAUGGUCAACCACUCAGUUAAUAGUCAACUUUGGGUCUAGGGUCAAUGAUUAAUUCUAUAGUCCAAGUAUGUUAUGGUGACCUCUUUAAUAGUUAAUACUCUAACAUCUUGUACUUAGCCUUACCUUUUUAAUAUAUUCAUCUUGUGACUAUUACCAAGUGAUUGUAGUAAGAUAGCCACUUUUACAUUGUGCGAUUAUGUACAUGUGAUUUUGUCACAUUUGUUUUAUUAGAUUUUGAGCACCAUAUUACUAGUGGUUUGCCUAAAUCGAUCGGUCCUUGUCUGCUAUCAUGAUUGAUGAGUAUAGUUUUUGAGUUGCUAUGACUUCUAAAUCAUCCUCUUCUUAGAUUCUUUGGACAUCUCUUAUAUUUUUUAUUUUCAUUUAUUAGCUCCUCAUUUGUCUCACUUAUCAUCCUUAUUACUAUCAAACUCAAGUGUCAUGGUCGAUUUCUGUAAGGUCAUUUGCCAAACUCCAACUAUUCUUGAGCUCUCCUCAUCAUCAUAAUCGUGCCAUUUGUCAUUGCCAUCCUCUAUUGGUAAAGGAGAGAAAGGGGUCAAUACUAUGAGUCCUUGACAACCUAGAUCUAUCGUGAAUCAUUAUAUUUGCUCCAUCUUCGAUAAUUAUUACUAUUAGUCCUAGUAUGCUCAACACUCUGAUGUUGAUGUCACCAUGUUUAGUUCCUUCUACAUAAGCAUCCAUUCUCCUCUCAUGACAUUGUGGUGUCAAACAAGCAUACCUUUUCAUGAAGAGUGUUGGUGUACUACCUUACUAACCUUGUGAGUGUAGGGUCAAUUAAGGUGGCAAUUGCCUUACCGUUGGAUUGAUAUGACAAAGGGAGACGAAGGGUGGGUGACAAAGAAGAUAGGGAGUCCUUAUUAUUGGUGGUAGAGGGCGACAUUGGAUGAGCUAUCUGGUCAACUAUUGGAUAUUAGUAAAAACUAAAUGCUUUGUUUGAGUUGCCAACAUGUUGAACAACAUAUGGUUUAAAGGGAUAAGGACCCCUAAAAUAUUAAAUAAUUUUUGCACAUAUGACUAACUUAACUUCCAACAAUAAACCUAGGGGGCUUUCGCAUUUUGCAUCAUAUACAUUUGGAAUGGGGUGAAAUUGCAUCUUGAGGAAAAAGAAAUGCUUAAUUUAAUUUUUGAGGCUCUAGUGUUUUUUUGAGCAUUCCUUUUGGUAGAGGGGACAAAGUUGUCUAUUGUUCAAUUAUGGUCGGCUCAUCAUAUUCCCAUAAUUAUACAUGUUAUUGAGUAUGUAACUUUUUAGACCAAAGCCCGAAGAGGUUUAUCCUCAAUGAUAAGUAAACAUGCUCAUUCUAGAAUAAAUGGCUAAAGAAUAGUAUAGAGCAUAAAUCCCCUUUUAUACAAACAUUCAAUAUAAAACGUCACAUCAAUUUAGUUCACAAAAUUGAAAACUAUGAUAAAAAAUGAUAAAUCAUAAAUAUUAGGUAUACAUAUGUUAGUGACAUCUAGGGGACCUCUUUGGGCUCAUUGCAUGUUUAUGAGGCAAACCAACUAUCACCAGCCAUCAACACAUGUCAUCAUCUAUAAGGCAGCCAUCAUCAUAGAUCUAAUAUGGUCCUAGGAGGAUAAUACACCUCACUAUUUAUUGAGAAAUAGAGGUAUAACUAUUUAAUGAAGAAAAAAAUACAGUAGUUAAUGGAGUAAAAGAACCCAAGGUCCCAAGGAGGGAGGUAUUAGAAUCUUGAUUUCAAUGUUCAGAUAAAAGUAAAUGAGGUUUCUCCAUCUUGAUGUGUCUCCUUUUUCUUUCCCUCCCUAAACCCUUUUUUACAAAAGAGGUAGAGAGGAGAGAUUCAGAUAAAUCUAAAAGAUUUACCAAGUUUGACCCUACCAACAUACAAUAUCUAGGAAUCAUUUUCUUCUUGGCUUCCAUUAUAUUAGUUACCAUAAAUCCUAAUUUUUAUUUAACCUGAUCAACCCUCAUAGAAUUUCACCUUAAAAUUACUAACAAUUGAAAGAUUUUAUUUGAUUACUUGGAAAAUAGUUUUCAAUGAUUAAUAAAUAUUUCAUUAUAAAUUUAUCCACAUAAAAAUAAUGGAAGAUUUCAUCAUGAGUUGAUUUUAGAAGAAUAUAUUACUCCAAUACUUUUACUAAUUAACAUCCUAGAAGAUUUCACAAAACCUUUUGUGAAUUAGUGAUUGCCUGAUAAUGAGCAAGGAAUAUCCGUCUUUCUACUAAAAUAAAAAAUAUGCAUGUUCGAUGAAAUGGUUGUUGCUUUCUGCUCCAAUAUGAUGAGUAACUUAGAAAUUUGAUGAAGCAAAUGAUAAAUGUUGAAAGUAUUAUUGUGUUGACCAAUUGAAGGAUGAUGUUAUGGAAUUUGAAUUUAUUUUUUUACUUAUUCUUCUU